CAAGAAGGCCAAGACUCAGAACGAUGAGGAGGUCAAAUCUGAGGUCGAAGAUGAGGGUAGCGAUGAGGUAUAAACAUUGAGCAUUUUGGUUGAUGGUUGGUUUAUGUUUGUAGCGCCCAAUGAUGUUUACCCGCUAGUGCUUUUAGUGACACUCUUGAUUUUUCUGUCUGCAGGAAAACGAGGACGAUGAUGAGUAAAUAGUGUAUCAGAGUAUGAGGUAGCAAAUUGGGUGUUGGGUCCCCGCUUAGUGUACUAGUUUGCUAUCCUGCUAUCCUCAGUGUUAGAUGAUGAGAUUUGGAAGUAGAUGUUGUGUUUGUGUGUUAAGGGGGCCCUUUUAGACUUGUGGACUCAUGGUUUGAGAAGUUGCUUAGUAGUGUAUUAGCAGAGAGGAAGCUGAGAAUGCUACCAGCUGUUCCAAUGCUUUUCUCUUGCUAACCACCUGUGUAAGAACUUGUUUUCAUUCGCUAAUCUGAUGACUGCCCAGCCAUUGGCUCUUGGUUAAUUUCGCCUUAAAUUUGUCGUGGUUACUUCUUCUGUGUGCUACUGUGUGUAAUCUAUCUGCUUCGUUUGGCUUUUUGUAACUCGGUUGAAUUCUUAGCUGUGACUUCAUCUGCCCGAGUCUGUUGGUGAUAUUUGGUGUUUGCUGGGAUUAUUUCCGAGCUACAGAGUAGAAUAUGAACUACUCCUAGAUUAGUGGGGCUGAGAACGUAUUGUAUAAUUUGCUAAUCUGCUGUUUGAGAAUUGGCCGGUGUUGCUCUUUCUGGACGACAUUUCAAUGAUGCUGGCACGGGACAAACAACUUGUCCAGGCGAGAUGCAAAUGGUAACUGCAUUUUUGGGCAAUAUGAGAAGCCGUGUCCCAUCCAGCGCGGAUCUCUGCCGGUUUGCUUCAAGAGAAGCUCUAUUUGUUGAUCUCGUCAUGGCGUCUAACUGCAGGUAGCGGUGCGGCCGCAGGGUUGCCUAGAUGCUGCAAAACAGCAGAUGCUGGUUAGGAGACGCAGCCGCUCAGGAUAAUGCGAAUAUUAAUAACGCGAUUUAUAACUCGUCGUCUACGCUUCCGUAGCAUAGUGGUAGUGCGUUCGCUUCGUAAGCGAAAGGUCGUGAGUUCGAUCCUCACCGGGAGCAUAUUUUUUUGGCCUCAAGAUUUUGGUAAAGGUUCUCUCCCCUUCGUUCAGUCCUACGCUUUCCUCUUCCUCUCCCAUUUUGACUUUUUCUCUCGCGAAAACCGCCUCAAACACAUUAUAACAAGCAUUAAAGUUUCUUUUCCCGCAUCCCACAUUUGCACAAAUACUGUGAUUCUCAAGCAGACUUAAGUUUUGAAGAUCAAAUGGGGAUGUCAAAUUGAAGUACCAAAUGAAGAGAAGCGAAUGAUAUGAUCCAAGAGUUAGCUAUAUUUUAUAUUUAUUAUAUGAUAAAACAGUAUAACUGGGUCGAUAAACCCCUAACUUUCUUUAAUGUAGUCUUAUACAGGAUGUAAUUAUUGUUUGAUAUCAAUAAAAAGAGCCAUGACAGGCUUCCCUAGGGAAAAAAACGCAACACUGCACAUCCCACUCCGUGCAUACCGUAACAUUGUACGGCCGAAAUUUAUCCUAAUCAACCUAACAAAAAGGUGUAGGAUGAAAAUUGAUCCUAAUCAGUUCAAAACAGGCAUAUGUCUCGACGGAUAAAAGGCAUUGGAGUAAAUGAUUAUGAACUGGGAGAUGUAGAGAAUUAUUUAAUUUUACGCACGACAAACAUUUAAAUAUCUCACAACAAAAUGGCAUAUCCAAUUGUUCCUUAGCUACAGUACAUGGAUAGUAUUCUUCCAAUGUGCAUGAAUCAUUGUUUGAACUUCACAGUCUUUUAAGUGUGAUUUCUUUUGAUCUGGUCAACAAAAACUUUCACCGAUAAUUAAUAAAUCAUUUGAAAAAAAUGUUGUACAAGUAUUUCAAAAAAUCUAGCCAAGCAUUGGGAAAAUGUUAAAUGUGUAUAGAUUAAAUAUUGACCAUACAUUAAAAAUAGUGAUUUUUAUUAUUGUAUAUUAAAAUAUUAAUAAGUCAUUUGAAAAAUGUUAAUCAAGCAUUUGACAAAUUGUUAAAUGUGUAUAGAAAAAUGUUGACCAUGCAUUCAAAUAAUAUUUAUCUUGCAUUUGGAAAAAUGUUGAUAAAGCAUUUGAAAAAUGUUAAACGUGCAUAGAAAAAAUGUUGACCAUUUAUUAGAAAAAUAUUAAUUUUGCACUUCAAAAAUUUUAAUCAAGAAUUUGAAAAAGUUUAAAGUGCGUAUAAAAAAAUAUUGACCAUGAAUUCAAAGAAUGUUAAUCUUGUAUUUAAAAAAUAUUAAUCUAGCAUUUAAAAAAUAUGCAUAGAAAAAUGUUGACUAUGUAUAAAAAAUGUUAAAUUUGUAUUGGAAAGAUGUAAACAUGUAUUAGAAAAAAUGCUGUUGACAUAUAAAAAAAAUGUAGAAUGAAAAUCCAAACUAACCNNNNNNNNNNNNNNNNNNNNNNNNNNNNNNNNNNNNNNNNNNNNNNNNNNNNNNNNNNNNNNNNNNNNNNNNNNNNNNNNNNNNNNNNNNNNNNNNNNNNNNNNNNNNNNNNNNNNNNNNNNNNNNNNNNNNNNNNNNNNNNNNNNNNNNNNNNNNNNNNNNNNNNNNNNNNNNNNNNNNNNNNNNNNNNNNNNNNNNNNNNNNNNNNNNNNNNNNNNNNNNNNNNNNNNNNNNNNNNNNNNNNNNNNNNNNNNNNNNNNNNNNNNNNNNNNNNNNNNNNNNNNNNNACAGAAGAAAACCGAAUGAAACAGAAGAAACCGAAGAAAGUAAAGAAAAAAACAAAAGAAAACAGAAAAUCAGUGUAAAAACGGCUCUUUUCGUUCUAGUAGGUUAUGCACGACUUAUUAAACACAAACUCGAUGUUAGCUCAGUGGGUAACAAUUCUAAGAAGCAACCAGGAGAUCCCAGGUUCAAUCCCCUCUCGUAAAUAUAUACCCUAAUGGGCCGGCCCGAUUAGUCAAAAAGCUUGAGCAAGAUAUAGCGCUCGCGCUCCGGCUUAUGGGUUUAGGGCGUUGCCCGGCACGGCUCGGUUUUCUAUGAGUUUUUUCAUGUUUUUUGUUUUCCCACGUGGGCAUUUUAUCAUUUUUUAUAUUGGACGUCGUUGGGAGCAGAUCCACUCGAUGCGCUGGUUCGUCUCCUCAUGACUCAUGAGUUGCACCAAUUAGUACUAGAGACUAAGGCACGCUUUGCUGCGCCAUUCUUCAUUCGUGAAAUUUACUUUUUUAUAUAUCUAUUGAUUAUUGUGAUUAGUUGUUUUGCUUUGAUUUUAUCUGUGUGACUUUUUUUAAUGUUUUUAUGGUAUUUUUUGAGUAUUUUUUUCAAGAGAAGAGACAAGUUAUUUGAUGUAUGGUUGUGAAGCCUUUGCACAUUUUGCCCUUGUUUAAAAAAAAAGAAGAAUUACCCUAGCCUCUGCAUCAGUAUGAUGCUCACAACCAUCUUUAUUCAUUAUUCACCAGAGUCUAACAAAAUCAAUAGAGGGAUCAACCCGAAGCCUCCUUCUAGGCGAAUACAGUCGCUACACCUACAAGUAUACAGAUGCGCCAUGUCCGCAUAAUAGACACAAUCUAAUUCAGUGGGCUUAAGACCAUCCCGUCUAAGCGUCCCAUAACGUGCAUCGCCUGCGCACGCUCUAGAAUCCGUCGCCGCCAUGGCACGGCUCGGUUUUCUAUGAGUUUUUUCAUGUUUUUUGUUUUCCCACGUGGGCAUUUUAUCAUUAUUUAUAUUGGACGUCGUUGGGAGCAGAUCCACUCGAUGCGCUGGUUCGUCUCCUCAUGACUCAUGAGUUGCACCAAUUAGUACUGGAGACUAAGGCACGCUUCGCUGCGCCAUUCUUCAUUCGUGAAAUUUACUUUUUUAUAUAUCUAUUGAUUAUUGUGAUUAGUUGUUUUGCUUUGAUUUUAUCUGUGUGACUUUUUUAAUGUUUUGUUGGUAUUUUUUGAGUAUUUUUUUUCAAGAGAAGAGACAAGUUAUUUGAUGUAUGGUUGUGAAGCCUUUGCACAUUUUGCCCUUGUUUUUUUUAAAAAAAAGAAGGAUUACCCCAGCCUCUGCAUCAGUAUGAUGCUCACAACCAUCUUUAUUCAUUAUUCACCAGAGUCUAACAAAAUCAAUAGAGGGAUCAACCCGAAGCCUCCUUCUAGGCGAAUACAGUCGCUACACUUACAAGUAUACAGAUGCGCCAUGUCCGCAUAAUAGACACAAUCUAAUCCAGUGGGCUUAAGACCAUCCCGUCUAAGAGUCCCAUAACGUGCAUCGGCUGCGCACGCUCUAGAAUCCGUCGCCGCCAUGGUGUCAACCUGUGGUGAUUGUUUGAGCCUCUUGGGAGUUCUUAUUUCAUGCUAAACCAAUGGAAUUGCUAUUAUGACGCUCACAUGGGUCAGCACACAAAGAUCUUGCUCGCUCAGCUUGGCUCCCUGCUCCUCUCGCUCGUUUAGUUUUUUCCCCUCACCCCACUGCUAGCUCAAAAAAAAUGCCUAUCUUUUUUUAUUUGAAAAGGUUAGUUACAUUAAAUGAUGUUUAAUGAAUUUUAUAAAUAUUAUGACUUUUAAAAACCAUGAAUUUUAGAAACAUUCAUGAAUUGAAAAAUAUAUUCAUGGUUUCAACAUGUUCGUAAAAUAAAAACUUCUCAAACUUAAAGUAUGUUCACAAACUUUACAUGACCGUGAACUUAAAGAUAUCCACAAAUUUAAUAAAUAUUAACGAACUUGAAGAAUUAAAAAAUAUGUUUAUGUUUUUUAAAGUACACANNNNNNNNNNNNNNNNNNNNNNNNNNNNNNNNNNNNNNNNNNNNNNNNNNNNNNNNNNNNNNNNNNNNNNNNNNNNNNNNNNNNNNNNNNNNNNNNNNNNNNNNNNNNNNNNNNNNNNNNNNNNNNNNNNNNNNNNNNNNNNNNNNNNNNNNNNNNNNNNNNNNAUAAGUUCUCAUGAAUUAAAACAUGAAAAAAUAAAAAGAGAAAAUAAAUAAAUCUAAACAACACACACUUACGUGUGGGGCCCUAUUGACCCCCACAAUCCUCGAAGCACCACAACGCUUCAAUUCAAGGGAGCUUGAGAUCUCUAUAGAUGUGUUCCUUUUUCUUAUUUCACCUUUUGCUUUCUGAUCUUAUUUAUUUUAUGCUUUUUUCCUUACUUUAUAAUUUUUUUGUUUCUCUUUCUGUUUUAGGAGUACGAAAUAUUUUAAAAAAUUGUAGGAACAUAAAUUCUGACACCCAUGAACAACUAUUUAAUAAAUUGUAUCAACCACAGUUGCACAACCCCCUUGACAACGUGCAACUAAUUGGUGGGAGGGUAGUAGUUGCAUUUUUUUUCUUCACAAAUACCACUGACAAUUUUCAUCUUUGAUUUUGCUGUUUGUAAGCAGGGAUCUAUGCAAAAUGGGAUGAGGGCUUAGAACCACUUUAUCGAUCUUAUAUUUUGCUACAAUCCCUCGUAUGCAUUGGGGUAGGAACGUUUUCGGCGACCCUUAUCUUUUUUUUUUCUAACCUAUUUAUGUUAUUUUUUGUCUGAAUCUAUGCGAAAUGGGGUAGCGAAUUUGUGUGUGAAACCUAGAGGAUAUGCAGUGUCUGAUGCACAUCUUAUCUCAUUUUUGUGCAUUCAGGUCAAACACGUUUUGAUGGCUAGCUUAUGUUUAUCAUUCAUGCCAAUAUUUUUCUUAGGGUUAAUUAUCCUUUUGCCCUCAGUGGUGUCCAUGUGCUCAGUUUUGCCCUCAGAUGCAAAUUGUCCUCAGUUUUGCCCCUAGUCCGUGCAUAGCAACUACGACGAGGCCAAACGGCCAUAUUUGAGUCCAUUCCGUCCGCCGGCGUUAGUAGUUGUGGGUCCGGAGCUUACACGUGGGACCGCGUGGACGUGGGUCCGGAGCUGACAUGUAGGCCCCUGCAACUAAAUCCCCAAAUCAUUCUAGCUCACACCCAUCCGCCCGCCCGGCUGUCGUGCGCCGCCGCCGCCGCCACCUGCGCCGCGGCCAGCACCUGCCCCGCCACCAGCUGCACGCCCUGCUCCGCCGCUACCUCCCUGCGCCUACGCUCCACGGCUCAUUGUGACGCCCACCACCUUCCUGCGACGCCACGGGUGGGGCGCCCGCCACCUGCUCGACCCGCGGCGCGGCCUCCUUCCGUGCGCCCGGCCGGAGCGCUCAAAGGUGGGGGGCUGCUGGAGCUAUUUGAACUAGGAGGAAGAACCCUAGGGCGAAAUGGAGAGCAGCGGCGACCCCGGAGUAUUUGGCGAGGCAGGCAUCGGGCCGGAGAUCCGCCGCGUCCACGACUGGGUUCCCGAGGGGUAAGUCUCGCCUCUUGUUUAGAUUGAGCUUAGUUGUGCAUUUGAACACUCGAUUCGAGUAGGUUUGCCCAAUUAGUGUGCUGAUUGCGUCUCUGUUUUUCGCCGGUUAGGAUGGAGUUGCGGUUUGCUUUCAUGGUGCACAUUAGAAGGGACCGGUACAUGUUCGAUGCAAAGGAUAAGAAGAAAUACCAAGGAGGUUUUGAUUAUCGAUUGCCAAUGGCUAGUAAUUGGAGUUUCAGACAAUUUGGGGAGGUAAUUUGUAGCCAAUAUCCUUGGGGUUUGCUUGAUGAAGUGGUUUACAAAUACUAUGAUGGGGGAAAGAAUUGGGUGACAGUUAGUAAUGAUGAAGAGCUAGCUACCAUGUUUGUUAGGCAUAAAGAGAAAGAUAAUUUCCAUGUGAGGCUGCAAGUUGAUGUGCUUGAGCAGGCAUUUGGACCUAGGAUGGCGGGUGCAACAUCUCGGGGAGAAUCAAGUCGUCGUAAUGGCAUCUCUAGCCAGAACAGUUCAGUUGGUGCACGACGACGUGGUGGCUCGACAAGUGUGGGCAACAGUAGUAGGGUCCCCCUUGAAGUGGAGCCUGAUGGCUACAAUUCUGGGGUUGAUGAAGAGAAGUUAUAUUCUGAUGUUAUUCAGAAUUUACGACGGGCACAUAGGGCUGAAAACCAAGAUGAGGCUCACAAUGCAGUCCGUGUGGAUGAUGACGCAAUGGGUGAGGACGAAGACCUUGCAGCUGUUCAAUGGGACCCUUUGAACCCUCAAAUGGAAGAAGGUACAGUUUUUGCAUCCAUGAAUGAGUGUAGAAAUGCACUUGUGACAUACUGCAUCAAGGUAGAACGUACUUUCAAAUUUGACAAGAGCGAUCAAGUACGUUACAGAGUGCACUGUCCGACUGAGGGUUGUCCAUGGAGGCUGCUUGUAGCUAAAAUGCGGAAUAGCACUAAUGUUCAGGUCAAAGUGAAUCCUUUUAAGCACACAUGUCAGGAAUCAACCCUUAGGAAGGAUACAAUCAGUAGAGCCAAGUCAAGAUGGGUGGCAGAAGAAGUAAAAAAGUGGGUGAAAGAAAACCAGCAAGUGGGUCCAAAGGAAUUGCAGAAGAACAUCAAAGAUAAGUUCAAGAUAGAUUUACCAUACAUGAGGUUGUUCAAUGGUAAACAACAUGCUAUGGAUUCUAUUUAUGGUAACUGGCAGGAAAGUUUUCAAUUGUUGUAUUCAUUCAAAGGUGAAGUGGAGAGGACAAGCCCAGGUAGUAUUGUAGAUAUUGAUCACCACACCGUGGAGUACACAUUCAGGGGAGUGACAAAGACCAAGGAAUGUUUUAGAAGUGUUUUUGUCUGCUUUGAGGCUUGUCGCCGGGGUUUUUUGGCAGGCUGCAGGCCUUAUUUGGCUAUUGAUGCCACUUUUCUCACAGGAAGGUUUAAAGGACAGUUAGUAGCAGCUUGUGCAGUUGAUGCACAUAGUUUUGUAUUUCCAGUUGCCUAUGGUGUGCUAGAGACAGAGUCUGAGGAGAGCUGGACUUGGUUUUUGCAUAAUCUCCGCCGGGCUAUUGCACAUCCCAAUGGGUUGGUCAUUCAUACAGAUGCCUGCAAAGGUUUAGAAGUGGCCGUGGACAAUGUGUUCCCUGGAGUAGAGCAUAGGGAAUGCAUGCGUCACCUUGCUGCAAAUUUCAUGAAGAAAUUCAAAGGAAAGGUGUAUACCGACAAUUUAUGGCCAGCAUCUUUGACAUGCAGUGUGAAGAAGCACAACUACCACUUGAGGCAGUUAUACAUGAAUCCCAAAGUGAAAGAAUACUUGGAAACACACCACUCCAAGUUAUGGGCCAGAAGCCAAUUCAGUGAAGUGAGCAAAGUUGACUAUGUGCACAAUAAUCUAGCAGAGUCUUUCAACUCAACGAUCCGGAAACUAAAGGGUCAUUAUGUGGUGGAUUUGCUUGAUAGAAUAAGGAUAGAAUACAUGCAGAAAUUUCAUUAUCGUGCAGGAAUAGCCGAGGCAAAAUUCAUGGGCCACAUUAUCAUCCCUGCCGUGAUGAAUGAACUGAAGCAGAAGACAACAUGCUUGGAAAUGAACAUGACGCUUUGCUCGGGUACCACAACAGAGAUAUCAUAUUUGGAUAAAGAGAAGAGGGAAUGGAGAUAUCCAGUGGAUUUAGAAGCUAGAACUUGCAGUUGUAGGCAAUGGCAGAUAACUGGUUUGCCAUGCAUUCAUGCCUUGUUUUUCAUCACUUCUCUCCCAGGUCCAGCAGGGAACAUACAGCAGUAUGUGCAUGAUUACUACUCUGUUGCAAGGUUCAAAGCCACAUAUGCUUAUGCCUUGCCUGCUAUGGAGGGAAAACAACAAUGGGACAUGGUGGACCCUGGAUUCAAGCUUUGCGCUCCAGUUCCGAAGAGAGCAGCAGGUAGACCAAGGAAGAGUCGAAUAAGACCUCGCAGCGAAGGAGCUGGACUUGGAGCGAGGAAGCGUAAGUGCACAAGAUGUGGUGGGUCUGGUCAUUUCGGUAAGUAUUGUGAUAACACAGUAGAUCCAGCAUUCGGAGAGAGUUUCGAUGAAGGCUUCGAUGAAAAUGUUGGUCAGCAGCCGGUUGCCUCAAUAGAUGAUGAAAAUGUUGGUCAACAGCCGGUUGCCUCAACAGAUGAUGAAAAUGAUGGUCAACAGCCGGAUGAUUUUGACGAUGAUCCAAAAUAUCCUCCAAAUAAUGAUUCAAGUGAGGCUCCAAAUGGUAAUCCAAGUGAGGCUCUAAAUGGUGAUCAUGGUGAUCCAAGUGAGGCUCCAAAUGAUGAUCCAAGUGAGGCUCCAAAUGGUGACCAACCUUCUGUUGUUGUGAGUUCUGCUAGGUAUGUAAAUCUUGCAAGGGUCAAAUACUACUAUACAUCUAUCACUUGACACGAUCUCAUUACCGUUUAUGUUUGGACCCUUUAUGUUUUGCACAGCUCUAUGGUAGGUUUGAAGAAGACGCGCAAGGUACCGACAACCAAGAGAAGAAGAGAAGAAACAAUGAGCACAAGGUUCACGAGGAGCAAAGUGAUGACAAGAAGCUCAAGGAACAGACAGAAGCCCCAACGCUAUCUACGAACAAUUAUGAAACAUUAUGAAUAAGGAAUGAUGUUGUAUUAUGAAACAUUUAUCACUUGACAUGUUGUAUUUCUGUUGGAUGAUGUUGGACCUAUGUUAGAAGUAUGUUUGACAUGAUGUUUAAAUAUCUGUUGGAUGAUGUUUGAAUGAGCACAUGGUUUUUCCUUUUUUUGAUUUUUUUGAAUUUUAUUUUGCUCAUUUAAAUUCUGGUCAAACCUAACUUUGACCAAGAUUUAAGCAAGUCUAAAACAUCAAAAUGAAAAACUAAGCCUGGAUACUUCUUAGUCAAUCCAAAAUGAAGUUGUGGUGAGGUUUUUGAAAUUUUCAUGAAAAAUGUGCUAAAAAGAGGGGUCCAAAGGUAGGGUAAAUGGCCUCAUUUCUAAGCAAGGUUUUUUUCGACCUUAUCUAAAUCAGUCAAAUAACUUUCCUACACAUAUAUUCUAUAUGUACAGACUAUGUGCGCUGGUUUUUCCAUUUUUUGAUUUUUUUUUAAAUUUGUUUUGCUCAUUUGAAUUCUGGUCAAACUUAACUUUGACCAAGAUUUAAACAAGUGUAAAACAUCAAAAUGAAAAACUAAGCCUGGAUCCUUCUUAGUCACUCCAAAAUGAAGCUGUGGUGAGUUUUUUGAAAUUUUCAUGUUCAUUUCCCCAAAACACUUCUCUUCACUUCAUACAAGAGAGUUUGAGAUACUCGAGAUAUCAUACAAUACACAUGAACUUAUCAUUUAAAUGUAUGUAAAGCUUGUUUAUCAACUUAAAUCGUUAGUAUAUGACAUAAGAAGACUAUGUGCGCAGGUUUUUCAUUUUUCUGAUUUUUAUUUAAUUUAUUAUGCUCAUUUGAAAUCUGGUCAAACAUAGCUUUGACUGCUCCAAACCCCUCCCAAACCCCGCUAACCCUAGCGCUGAAUAAGGACCGUUCAUCUAACCCUAGCGGUGAUCAAGGGCCGUCGAUCUAACCCUUCUAGAAGGAAUCUGCGGGGAGGAGGGGGGCGAUCCGCGAGAUGCAAUCUGAUUGGCUGGGAGAUUGUUUUUUUAACAAAUAUCGGGCGCGCUGGAUGGACCAUUGGGCCGUCUCGUUGUCUGGGCCUGAGACUGCAGUAAAUAGCCCGUCUCAGCCUUUCCAGGCCUUGCAUGCAUGGAGGCGGCUACGUGGGUUUGCGCAUGCGCGGGAGGCGGCGACGUGCAUGCAUGCGAGUGAGGCGAGCGAGGCGCGCUAGGCGAGCUAGGCUAGCGAGGCGAGCUAGGUGGUUCAGGGUAGUGGUUCAGGGCAGCGGUUCACAUGCACUCCCCGGUCAAAGAUGCAUCGUUUUCGUGCAAAAAUUUAAGUGUGCAAAAUGUAACGGAUACACACACGCGUCUGGAUUCACACACGCACCAUUCUCAUCCUUUCUCUCUUCCUCUCCCACCCACAGGCCUAUAAAUGGGGUGCCUCUCUUCCUCUCCCACCCACAAGCCAGAUCCAAUCCUCUCCAACUUCAAACACCCAAGCGACCGAGCCCUCCCCAAGCGAGACCAAGUGAAGAAGAUGCAGUUCAACGGGCCGACCUUCAGCCGUCCGCCUGUGGUGCCGGAGUUGCGCUACCCACCGGGCGUGCUUGUGGAGAGGGAGCUCCGUGUGUGGGCUAUUUCAAGGUGGAGGGGUUCCGUCGAACUCAUCCGCGCCUUCCUCAGAGCCGGCUAUGCCCACCUCCCACGGGGCUCGCCGAGGAUGUUCACCCUCAACGAGGUUCGUGACCGCGGCGGCAUCCUCCUACUGCUCACGGUCACCUUCACCAACCCAUUUGACGCGCGCGAGCUCCUCGGCCAAGUCUUUUGGUGCGGCUGCGAGGCCAUCUUCUUCACCGUCUACAACAUCUACACCAACUACGAGCGCAUCUUCCCCGCUCCAGGCCAGAUGCACUCCCUUCCCUACGACGAGGAGGAGGAGGUGUGAAGAUGAAGACGGUGUUGAAGGGGCACGCGCGGCCAAGGUGGAAGAAGGAGGUCAAGAUGAAGAUGUUCAAGCCCGGAGUCAAGCUCGUCAUGUUUGGUUUUUUAUUUUGUUGCUUUUCUAUGUCGUGUCGUGUCGUGUCAUGUUUCAUCAUGUGUCCGUGAACUGUCCGUGAACUUAUCUAAGUUAUUGUAAUGGUACAGUGUGUUCCAUCUUAUUAUGUGUGUUAAAAAAUGUCCGUGCCCAAACUUAUCAUUUCUUCCCUAAACAAGUCAUGAAGUUCGAGAACUUGUGGUUUUCGGAGGGGGUGAGAAGCCCUCUGUUUCAUUCAAACAAAAAGUCAUGAACUAACAUGCAAAUUUAUUCCCUUUAAAUCCUAAACCAAGUGCCACUCUAACCCUAAACCAAGUGCCACUCUGACCAAAAUCAUGUGGUAGUGCAACAUACAUUUUCAACCUUCCAACCCUCCAAAAUUUAAGUGCAAAACAAAGGAAAACCACUCUCACGCGUGUGCAACAUUCACGGUCUCACUAUUUUUUUUUUAAAAAAAUUCACAGUCUCACUAUGUAUACCUUCUUUCCCUACCCAUGUCAAAGUCUUGCCAUCUGUCCUAGCGGUUACCAGCGUAGCCCUAAACACCACAAACCCACGCGGUCCUGGGUUCGAGUCCCCAGGCGCACCAAUUUUUUGUGCAUUUUCCACCCUUCAUUUUUUAGACAUAUUAUGUUUUUCUCAAUGUAAUGCCCUUAAAAAAUGUUCAUUUAUUUUGGCACCUGGCGUAAACCUCUACCAGAGCCGAGGCACAUUUUUCAUGACAUUUUGGUCUUUGAUUUAAAUCAUGGUGUAUUUGAAUUGGAUUAAUUAACAGCUCCAAAAAAUUUCUAACAUUAAUUGUUUGGCUCCGGAAUAAUUCAAUUAGCUUCCACAAAAAGUUUCAGCAUUAUGAUUUACUGCCUAAAUUAAAAUCAGAAUAGAAAACAGAAAAAUACGCAAGAAAACCUCUGAAUGGGCCUAAUUGGAUGCAGUUGGCCCAUUAGUCUAGCCUGCACUUGGCUCUACGCUCCGAAUUUGGCCCAAGAGCAACCUUUUUUUGGACAGAAAGGCAGAGCAGAGAGCUGCAUUUCAUUGAUCAAAAGUUUCUGAAUUCCUAAUUUCUUCUCUUUUUUUCCAACAUAUUUAAAUGUUGGUCACUUCUUCUCUUUUUGUUUCAACAUUUAAACAACUUUAAUCAACAUUUAAACUAGGUGAAUUUCUCAAACAAUUUCAAGAUUACAAAUUCCUUCAUAAUUCAUGCCUUUCCAUACAUUUUCAACAUUACAACCAGUGCGAUUACUAUACCUACAAAUGCCCAAAAGUAUUUGCAAAUGGGUAUUGGUAGUGCUUGAUCUUCAAGCUUCCUAACCUUCUUCUUCAACAUCCUAAGCUCAAUAGCUAGCUCUCUGUCAGUGCGUGCUUCGCCAUCCAUCUCUUCUUCCGGAGCUCGUGGUGUGGCCACUGCCGUUCGUGGCAACAUGCGCAACCAUUCUUCAUGCUCUUCUUGCAGUUCAUUCAUCAGAGUCUUGGCCAGAGCAUCGACCCAAAGAAAGAAGCAUGUCACCUGCAUGAACACUAAACAGAUCAACCCAUUGCUCAAACAUCCCGACGACGAAAAUGGUGCAAUUGCCCCGAUUCUUACCCCAUUCUUGCUGCACACGUAGAACGGACGAUUCUGGUUCCUCGGUGUCUGAGAAACCCUUCGAUCAACGCCCGCCCGGCACCGCGGACAGACGAAGACAGGCAUGUCCACACGCGCCCGGCUCUGCAUCCGCGAGGUGGCGCGGGAGCUUGAGGAAGACAUGGAGCUCGGAGCCGAAGGGGAUCUCAACGCCGCCGCGCCCUCCACUGCCAGCUUCCCACCGCCGCGCCCUCCACAGCUAGCUUCCCGCCGCCGUGCUCUCUCUCUCGCCGUGGUCACCGCCGUGCUCUCUGUCACCGUGGUCACCACCGCUGUCGCCCGCUUAUAUAGCACACCCGCCAAUGGCUCUCUGCUCAACGGCUCUUUGCUGGGUCCCACAAGCCACGCGUGCAACGGUCUGAAUAAAAUUGGCCGUUUCUGCCGCCUGAUCCCACCUGUAAGGGCCGAGUCAAAAGGUUGACCUGACGGAGACGGCAGAGUUCACGGAACGAGUCGGUGCGCACGGACUAGGGGCAAAACUGAGCACAUGGACACCACUGAGGGCAAAAGGAUAAUUAACCCUUUUUCUUAUGCAAGCUUGCAAGUUACUAAGUGGGGGUUACGACUGCAAGUUUUCAAACGGGCCCGCAAUUGUAAUUUUUUAAGUGAGAUCACUACUAGGUUUAUAAGUGAGGUCGCAAACUGCAAGAUUUUCAAAUGGGCUGUGACGCCCCGAGACCGAUGUGCCAGGUGUCUUUCAGUUAUUCGCUGUUGUUGCCAUGUCAUUGCUUGCGUGUCAUGCAUUCCAUAUCAUGUCAUCAUAUGCAUUUUAUUUGCAUACAUGUUCAUCUCAUGCAUCCGAGCAUUUUCACCGUUGUCCGUUUUGCAAUCCGGCGCUCCUAUGUCACCCGGUGUCUCUUUCUACCUCUUUUCAUGUGCGGGUGUUAAACGUUUUCGGUUUGGACCGAGACUUGUCAUGCGGCCUUGGUUUACUACUGGUAGACCGCCUGUCAAGUUUCGUGCCAUUUGGACUUCGUUUGAUACUCCAACGGUUAACCGAGGGACCGAAAAGGCCUCGUGUGUGUUGCAGCCCAACAACCCUCCAAAGUGGCCCAAAACCCACCAAAACCCCUCCAUCUUGGUCGUUCGAUCACGACCGCGUGGCCGAAAACCCCACCUCAUUUGGAGCUUCGUAGCUCCCUCUACCUAUAUAUACGUGUCCCUCCCGGAAUUUUCACGCAGAUAAAACCCUAACUUCCUCCUCCACGCGCCGCCGGACAAUUCUUCUCCGCGCCGGACAAUGUCCACCACCACCGCCACCUCACCCAGACCAAUCCAGAGCCGCCACCUCAGCAUCACCGCCCCCACAACCAACCACCACCCGCCACCUGUCGCCGCCACUCUCCUCCGCCGCCGCGCCUCACCUGCCGGCCCGCCAGGGCCCGCACGGGGCCCUCCGGGCCCGGUCNNNNNNNNNNNNNNNNNNNNNNNNNNNNNNNNNNNNNNNNNNNNNNNNNNNNNNNNNNNNNNNNNNNNNNNNNNNNNNNNNNNNNNNNNNNNNNNNNNNNNNNNNNNNNNNNNNNNNNNNNNNNNNNNNNNNNNNNNNNNNNNNNNNNNNNNNNNNNNNNNNNNNNNNNNNNNNNNNNNNNNNNNNNNNNNNNNNNNNNNNNNNNNNNNNNNNNNNNNNNNNNNNNNNNNNNNNNNNNNNNNNNNNNNNNNNNNNNNNNNNNNNNNNNNNNNNNNNNNNNNNNNNNNNNNNNNNNNNNNNNNNNNNNNNNNNNNNNNNNNNNNNNNNNNNNNNNNNNNNNNNNNNNNNNNNNNNNNNNNNNNNNNNNNNNNNNNNNNNNNNNNNNNNNNNNNNNNNNNNNNNNNNNNNNNNNNNNNNNNNNNNNNNNNNNNNNGCCGGAUCCACCCCGCUCCGGCCACCUCGCCCAACUCCGGCGCCCCAAGCAUCUCCGGCGAGCACUGUUCCAGCGGACUCGGUUCGCGUGUCGCGAGAUCCAGAUCCAGAUCCAUCCCCUCUCGGUUGACUUUUUCGUCCCUAACCCUAAUAUUUUUGCAUACUUUGACAUGCCAUAACUUCCUCAUCGUAGCUCCGAUUUGUGAGUGUAGCAUAUCAAAAUGUUCGUCUCGACGAGUACAUCAUUUCAUCUCAUUGCAUCUUUUCCAUUUGAGCUCAUCUUGAUGCCCGAAAUGUUGUUGGAAGAGGGCUAUGUGAUGAUAGUUUCAGAUCUGUUUCAGCAAAUGCACUUUUGUCAUUUUUUCCAUGAUUAAUGUGUGCAUGCUAUGAUCCUGAGCUCUACAUGUGUUUUGAAAUAUGCCAUGCCAUCUUUACAGGGGUGUAUGCCAUGUAUUUUUGUGAUCUUUGUGGUGACUAGCACAAGCAUGCAAAGUAGCUUACUCAAUGAUGCUGAUUUCAGGGACUUAGAAUUUCACUAAGUCCUUGCCCUGUCAUUAUUUUUAUGCCAUAUGUUCAUAUUGUUUCCUAGUGAUCCGUGCCUCUUUUGAGCAUGAUCAGUAAGGAUGUUUUGUAGAUAUUGUUGUGCUCUAUCCAUCCAGGUCUUUGUUUGCAUUUAUGGAGCACCCUAGCUUGAGUCAAUUGAGUUCUACUUUUGCUAUAAAAUGUUCCUAGGAGAUUGUUAACAUGUUUAGCAAUUUUGCCGAGCUUGUUGUUGUUGAUCCGUGCAUGCUAUGUUGUUGUUGUUCUUGCCAUGUCUAGCUUCUAUGGCAUGUCUAUUUGCUGGGUGUAUGCUUAGUUUGUCAUGCAAUGCCUCGUAGUGAGUGCAUUGAGCUCGUAAACAUGCCUACUCGUUAACUGUUUUGCCAUGCUCCAGUUUUUCACUAAGUCUGAAUCUGUUUAUGUUUUUGCUAUGUUCACAUGCUUGCAAUUGUAUUUUCUGAUCCCUUUUGGCUCAUGGUCACUAAGGGACUUUUGUUAUAUGCUUAGAGUAGCUUCAUUCCAUGCCUUGAUUUGCCAUGAUAUGUUCCUGUAGCAUGUAGUUAUCGUGCUCUAAACAUUGCUUCCUGAUGAUAAAUUCCUGACAUGCUGUUAAUUCCACUAAGUCUGAAACCAGUAAUCUUUUGCAUUUUUGCCAUGCUUGUUUGAACCUGCUAUUGAGUGAAUUAGCCGUAGCUCAGUGUUCAUCUUUUGUCAAGCAUUAUGAGUGGAUCCCUGCCAUGUAUUUUGUUGUCAUGUUGGAGUGCUGUAGCAUGUUGUUCUUGAUGCAUUUAGAUGGCUACUUGUUGUUUAUCACAGACCGGUGCCAUAUUUGUUUUGCUUGCCAUUUCCAAACCGCGCAUCCGAUUCCGGUGAUAUUUAUAUCGAUUUCGACCGAAAUCACCUCACUUUUCCAGUGGCACUCUUGGUUUUCCAAGUUGAGGCCAGGUUCAAUCAUUCCUUUCCAAAGCAUACAUAUGCACCGCAUACCGCAUCCCGCAUAUCAUGCCAUGUUCAUGUGUUGGUUGUUUACUAUGUUGUGUGCUUCUUUCCGGUGUUGCUUCUUCGGGUUGGUUCUGAUAACGUCGCGUUUGUGAGGACCCAUUCGACUACAUCCGUUUGUCUUCUUCAUGGACUCGUUCUUCUUCCUUGCGGGAUUUCAGGCAAGAUGACCAUACCCUCGAAAUCACUUCUAGUUGCUCGCUCUUUUGAUACGCCUAUGCUGCGAUACUUACCACUUGCUUAUCAUGCCUCCCAUAUUGUUGAGCCAAGCCUCUAACCCACCUUGUCCUAGCAAACCAUUGUUUGGCUAUGUUACCGCUUUGCUCGGCCCCUCUUAUAGCGUUGUUAGUUGCAGGUGAAGAUUGGAGUUUGUUCCUUGUUGGAACAUGGAUAUUUGUUGGGAUAUCACAAUAUCUUUUAUUUAAUUAAUGCAUCUAUAUACUUGGUAAAGGGUGGAAGGCUCGGCCUUAUGCCUAGUGUUUUGUUCCACUCUUGCCGCCCUAGUUUCCGUCAUAUCGGUGAUAUGUUCCCGGAUUUUGUGUUCCUUACACGGUUGGGUUAUAAUGAGAACCCCUCGACAGUUCGCCUUGAAUAAAACUCCUCCAGCAAUGCCCAACAUUGGUUUUACCAUUCACCACCUAGCCUUUUCCCUUUGGAGUCACGUUCCCGAGGGUCAUCAUUAUUUUAACCCCCCCGGGCCAGUGCUCCUCUGAGUGUUGGUCCAAACUAGAGCCCUGUGCAGCGCCCCUUCGGGGAAACUCGAGGUUUGGUUUUAGUUGUAUGGAGCGCUCAUCUGAGUGUGCCCUGAGAACGAGAUAUGUGCAGCUCCUAUCGGGAUUUGUCGGCACAUUCGGGCGGUGUUGCUGGACUUGUUUUACCAUUGUCGAGGAUGUCUUGUAACCGGGAUGCCGAGUCUGAUCGAAUUGUCUUGGGAGAAGGAAUAUCCUUCAUUGACCGUGAGAGCUUGUGAUGGGCUAAGUUGGGACACCCUACAGGGAUUGAACUUUCGAAAGUCGUGCCCGCGGUUAUGGGAAGAUGGGAAUUUGUUAAUGUCCGGUUGUAGAAAACCUGAAGUUUAUCUUAAUUAAAAUACAUCAACCGCGUGUGUAGCCGUGAUGGUCUCUUCUCGGCGGAGUCCGGGAAGUGAACACGGUGUUGGAGUUAUGUUUGACGUAGGUUGUUUUAGGAUCACUUCUUGAUCAUAGUUGUUCGACCGUGCUUUUGCCUUCUCUUCUCGCUCUCAUUUGCGUAUGUUAGCCACCAUAUAUGCUAGUCGCUUGCUACAGCUCCACCUCAUACUUUUACCCUUCCUAUAAGCUUAAAUAGUCUUGAUCGCGAGGGUGUGAGAUUGCUGAGUCCCCGUGGCUCACAGAUACUUCCAAAACCAGCUUGUAGGUGCCGAUGAUACCGUGCAGGUGACGCAACCGAGUUCAAGGAGGAGCUAGUUGAAGAUCGUGUUCGUUAUGUUGCUCCGUUUCCAGUUGAUCAGUAGUGGAGACCAGUUGGGACGAUCAGGGAUCUGUGUAGCUUUUGGGGUAGUCUUCUUUUAUUUUGGUUCCGUAGUCGGACCUUGUGUGUAUUUGGAUGAUGUAAUGCUUUAUUCAUGUAUUGUGUGAAGUGGCGAUUGUAAGGCAGCUAUGUAUCUCUUUCCCUUAUGAAUUACAUGGGUUGUGUGAAGAUUACCUCACUUGCGACAUUGCUUUCAAUGCAGUUAUGCCUCUAAGUCAUGCUUCGACACGUGGGAGAUAUAGCCGCAUCAAGGACGUUACAAGUUGGUAUCAGAGCCUUCCCCGACUUAGGAUCCCCCUACUUGAUCGAAUCGUUGGUGUUGUUGAGUAUAGAAAAAUGUUUUGAGUCAUUUAGGAUUAUAUAUAUCGAAGAGUAGGGUUCUUUUUACUCCUCAGUCCCUUCGUCGCUCUGGUGAGGCAUCUUGACGUAGAGUUUUGACUCUUCUCUUCUCAAAUUGCACCAAAAUUUUUUUAGGAUCACGUGGGUAUCUUGGAAUCAUUCUGAUGGUUUUGUGACGAGAACAUUGUUCUUGGUGCCUCCUGUGAUUUAGGGGUUGUGGCAGUGUCCUGGGGAGUUGAGCUCUAAGGUGUUGUCGUCACAAUUUUAUCGUUGAGAUUCUGGAAUAACUGAGUUUCGCCGACGUCGAAAAUCUCUUUUAUGCAGUUGUUGGUGAGAUAACCUCGACGCCACCCAGUACUGGGGCGGGAGUUCAGGAGUAUCGCCAUAACUCGUAUAACGGAUGCUUUUCGAAGGUUGAGGUAAACGAUCUCCGAAGGUUUCUUGGUUAUGUGUUGAAGGAUGGAUACAGCUGGAUGUAGGAUUUGCUAGUUUUUGGGUGAGAUAUUAUGCUUCCCCUGUAUCCCCAACACCUAAUUGCAUAACCGGAAAGUUUCGGGAGUUUAUAAGUGGGAAUUCAAGUAGCUCUUAGGAUAUCUUUCCGACAUAUGUAUGAUAUGAAAUUGGGGUUCGACGUCUAGUGGUCCGCCUAUCCACAGUUGGUUUUAUAGUGGUCUCGUUGUGUCUUAAAGAGUCCUUGGCUAUGCCGACUCGGGGACGCUUCGUAUGUCAUGUGCACUGCCUUGUACAUGAUGGUGCUGUACGAUCGAGCCCCUGUAGGCCCCACCAUGAAAACUUCGGAUGAAAUCUCUAUCUUAUGUUUGUUCCGGCUUAUUCUGCAAGCCAAUCCUUUGUUUUGUGUUGAGUUGUGGUAUUCGAGUUGCUUCAAUGUCAAGUGUUGAUUCCAUACCUUUUCUAAGUGGUGUUCUCAUACUCCUAUGUGAAUGCACUCCUUCUUGAUCAUCGAGAUUGUCAUGUCAAUCUUGUUCAACCGGUGUGUCUCUUUUCAAGUGGAUCCGAUCACUUCAACAUUCGCAAGAUCCAAUCUCUUCUCAACAGCGUUCAUUUCAUUCGUCCCAAGCUGCCUUUGUUUUUCCCGCCCACCCACCCUUGUUUCUUCAAGGACUCAUAUUUCUUUAUCGAGUAUCCAUUUUAUUGAUGUGAAGUCUCUCCAUUCUUUCCGUCGAUAUUCUAAUCUGAUGAUUCUCAGGAUGAUUCUAAUGGAGCUUCGAGUUUAUCAUUCUCCAUUCUUUUCUUCUCCGGUGGAUCCAAUCCAAGCUUUCAAUGUUGACCAUAUUUUUUCCUUCAAAUGUGUUCUCAUGCCGGUGCACCUCUUAAUCAUUCACCUCUCGCUAUUCAUUUGUUCCGGAGUGUUCAAGAUAUCUCGAAGAUUCGUGUUUCCACUCUGCUUUCGUAAUCCUUUCAAGCUCUUUCGAGAUUGUUAUCUCAUUCAAGCCAUUUAAUUCAACCGGUGCAAUCUCUCUUUCAAGUAAUCGUUCAAUGGUGUAUCUUUCAGUGGACCCUAACCCACAUGUCUUUUUCCAGGAUCUUACCUGACUCCUCUUAUUUUCCCGGAGCUAUCCUCAGAUUUCUUUUCGGAGUUUGACGCAAGAAUGAAUUAUCAUCAGCCAAAUGUCUUUCUCCAAGAUCUUUCAAAUUCUUUCAUCGUUCGCUCAACCUCUUCGUUUUUGAUUCAACCAGAGUGUCUAAACAUUUCACGGUGGUGUUUCUCAUUGUCAUUCUCUGCAUUUGAAGACCGAAGAAGAGUUUUACCUCCAUAUCUUAUCCGUUCUCUUAGAGAUUCGUGGUUCUAGUUCGAGGCCAUCCUCUCAUAAUUGUUUUGAUUGUGAGAAUUCUUUUCAUCUAUCCGGAGAAAUUCAAGAGUCUUCUCAGUUUGUUUCUCCGGAGCCCAUCAUCUCAGAAUUAUUCAUGUCAGCUUUCAGUUAUCAUUCUCCAAUCGUACCGGUGCUUCGUUCAAGUGAUCUCUAAUCAGCUCGUGAUCUCUUCGUUCUCAUGGAUCUAAAUUCACUCAAGCAUGUACGUUCAUUUGCUAAUCCUUACCGGUGAUUCAUCCUUUUACUUCAUUCGUUGUUCUAUUCUUAGGGUGGCUCUUCCAGGAUUCUCUUCCGCUGUUAUCAUAUCAAUUUAUUCGUUGCUUCAAUCAUACCGGUGGUUCGUUGAAGACCUUCUCAAGUUUGUGCUAUAUCUAUCUUAAUACUUUCUACGAGAAUAAGUAGUAUGUCAAAUCCGCUGCUUGUCAUCAAUUUAAAUUGGUGAAGGAUAUGCAUAACAUAAUUCUUAUUCUUGUUUCAUCCAAGUGAUAAAUUCCUUCCUUCGGAGUUUGUUCAUCUUUUCUUUCUCAGAGUUCCAAGCUCUAAUUAUCACGGAGAUCCAUCUAAAGCAUUACAAGGUUUCACCUUGUGUUUUCAACAAUCUCUUUCCUUCCGUUUGAUCAUUAUUUUGUUUAACAGAGUUCUUCAUGAAGAUUCUACAUGAUGGUUCAUCAAGGAUUUAAUUCCUUCUUGAAGUGGUCAGUGAGAUUCUUUUCAAAGGAGCUCAAGUAUUUCUCCAUCUUGCAAUCCGAAGUGCAAUGCUUUCUUCCGUAUCCUUGGAGGUGGUAUUAUGUCAUUCUUGGUAAUUUGAGCUCAUGUGUCAUGAUUCACACGUUGUUAAGAUUGAGGUAUUUAAAUCCAUCAAUCUCGUCAUUGGAGUUAUCUUGGGUUAUAUUUCACCUAAAGCCUUCCCUAAGGAUUGUUGCUAUUUAUGGUGCUCAUUUAUGAUCCAAGUUCUUCUUUUAUCCUUCCGGUGAAAUAAGUUCUCGUCUCCUUGUUGAUAUCAAUCCAAUCUAUCGUUUCCGUUAGUGGCAGAAUUUCACCUCAGCUUUGAGAUGUUCUCCAUAAGCCCACUACAAGCUUACUCUUUUCGUUGUUGGUUUUCCAACAACUCCGUUCGACCCUUCUCCUAAAGAUGUUGCUUUCCUCUCUGUUCUUUGGAAUCCAUUCCUACAUUCAUUCCGGAGGCAUUGUGAUGUUGCUCUCUUCAACUCUUCUUCUUCUUGUCAGGACCUUUUUCUUUUCGUGCCUAUCCAUUUAACCGGAGUGUUGUGCCCUUUUGCUCUAGUUCUUUUUGCCUUAUCAAGUCUUGCAUCCCUUCUCAACCGGAGUGCUGUUCGAAGUUGUUCUUCCUUGUUCCUCUUUGCUAACAGAGUGCUUUCAACUUCAUUUAUCUCUGUUGUAUUCUUUUCUCGAAAUGGCUUAACCUUUGCAAGGUUCUUUGGUUUCACAAGUUUGUCAAAGGAGCAACUUAGUUUUACCUCUUCUCUUUCUCUUCCGUUUUCCCCUUCGGUGGUAUUCGAGAUCUCGGGACGAGAUCCUCUCGUAGUGGUGGAGUGUUGUGACGCCCCGAGACCGAUGUGCCAGGUGUAUUCUAGUUAUUCGCUGUUGUUGCCAUGUCAUUGCUUGCGUGUCAUGCAUUCCAUAUCAUGUCAUCAUGUGCAUUUCGUUUGCAUACAUGUUCAUCUCAUGCAUCCGAGCAUUUUCCCCGUUGUCCGUUUUGCAAUCCGGCGCUCCUAUGUCACCCUGUGUCUCUUUCUACCUCUUUUCAUGUGCGGGUGUUAAAUGUUUUCGGUUCGGACCAAGACUUGUCAUGCAGCCUUGGUUUACUACCGGUAGACCGCCUGUCAAGUUUCAUGCCAUUUGGACUUCAUUUGAUACUCCAACGGUUAACCGAGGGAUCGAAAAGGCCUCGUGUGUGUUGCAGCCCAACACCCCUCCAAAGUGGCCCAAAACCCACCAAAACCCCCUCCAUCAUCUCGGUCGUUCGAUCACGAUCGCGUGGCAGAAAACCGCACCUCAUUUGGAGCUUCCUAGCUCCCUCUACCUAUAUAUACGUGUCCCUCACGGAAUUUUCACGCAGAUAAAACCCUAACUUCCUCCUCCGCGCGCCGUCGGACAUUCUUCUCCGCGCCGGACAAUGUCCACCGCCACCGCCACCUCACCCGGACCAAUCCGGAGCCGCCACCUCAGCAUCACCGUCGCCGCAACCAACCUCCACCCGCCACCUGUCGCCGCCACUCUCCUCCNNNNNNNNNNNNNNNNNNNNNNNNNNNNNNNNNNNNNNNNNNNNNNNNNNNNNNNNNNNNNNNNNNNNNNNNNNNNNNNNNNNNNNNNNNNNNNNNNNNNNNNNNNNNNNNNNNNNNNNNNNNNNNNNNNNNNNNNNNNNNNNNNNNNNNNNNNNNNNNNNNNNNNNNNNNNNNNNNNNNNNNNNNNNNNNNNNNNNNNNNNNNNNNNNNNNNNNNNNNNNNNNNNNNNNNNNNNNNNNNNNNNNNNNNNNNNNNNNNNNNNNNNNNNNNNNNNNNNNNNNNNNNNNNNNNNNNNNNNNNNNNNNNNNNNNNNNNNNNNNNNNNNNNNNNCCCCGUCGCGGGCCGCCGAAGCUCCGGCGCCGCCCGCAUCGCCUCGCCACCCCGCUGACCUCGCCAGAUCCGCCCCGCUCCGGCCACCUCCCCGAACUCCGGCGCCCCAAGCAUCUCCGGCGAGCACUGUUCCGGCCGCCUCGGUUCGCAUGCCGCGAGAUCCAGAUCCAGAUCCAUCCCCUCUUGGUUGACUUUUUCGUCCCUAACCCUAAUAUUUUUGCAUACUUUGACAUGCCAUAACUUCCCCAUCGUAGCUCCGAUUCGUGCGUGUAGCAUAUCAAAAUGUUCGCCUUGACGAGUGCGUCAUUUCAUCUCAUUGCAUCAUUUCCAUUUGAGCUCAUCUUGAUGCCCUAAAUGUUGUUGGAAGAGGGCUAUGUGAUGAUAGUUUCAGAUCUGUUUCAGCAAAUGCACUUUUGUCAUUUUUUCCAUGAUUAAUGUGUGCAUGCUAUGAUCCUGAGCUCUACAUGUGUUUUGAAAUAUGCCAUGCCAUCUUUACAGGGGUGUAUGCCAUGUAUUUUUGUGAUCUUUGUGGUGACUAGCACAAGCAUGCAAAGUAGCUUCCUCAAUGAUGCUGAUUUCAGUGACUUAGAAUUUCACUAAGUCCUUGCCCUGUCAUUAUUUUUAUGCCAUAUGUUCAUAUUGUUACCUAGUGAUCCGUGCCUCUUUUGAGCAUGAUCAGUAAGGAUGUUUUGUAGAUAUUGUUGUGCUCUAUCCAUCCAGGUCUUUGUUUACAUUUAUGGAGCACCCUAGCUUGAGUCAAUUGAGUUCUACUUUUGCUAUAAAAUGUUCCUAGGAGAUUGUUAACAUGUUUAGCAAUUUUGCCGAGCUUGUUGUUGUUGAUCCGUGCAUGCUAUGUUGUUGUUGUCCUUGCCAUGUCUAGCUUCUAUGGCAUGUCUAUUUGCUGGGUGUAUGCUUAGUUUGUCAUGCAAUGCCUCGUAGUGAGUGCAUUGAGCUCGUAAACAUGCCUACUCGUUAACUGUUUUGCCAUGCUCCAGUUUUUCACUAAGUCAGAAUCUGUUUAUGUUUUUGCUAUGUUCACAUGCUUGCAAUUGUAUUUUCUGAUCCCUUUUGGCUCAUGGUCACUAAGGGACUUUUGUUAUAUGCUUAGAGUAGCUUCAUUCCAUGCCUUGAUUUGCCAUGAUAUGUUCCUGUAGCAUGUAGCUAUCGUGCUCUAAACAUUGCUUCCUGAUGAUAAAUUCCUGACAUGCUGUUAAUUCCACUAAGUCUGAAACCAGUAAUCUUUUGCACUUUUGCCAUGCUUGUUUGAACCUGCUAUUGAGUGAAUUAGCCGUAGCUCAGUGUUCAUAUUUUGUCAAGCAUUAUGAGUGGAUCCCUGCCAUGUAUUUUGUUGUCAUGUUGGAGUGCUGUAGCAUGUUGUUCUUGAUGCAUUUAGAUGGCUACUUGCUGUUUAUCGCAGACCGGUGCCAUAUUUGUUUUGCUUGCCAUUUCCAAACCGCGCAUCCGAUUCCGGUGAUAUUUAUAUCGAUUUCGACCGAAAUCACCUCACUUUUCCAGUGGCACUCUUGGUUUUCCAAGUUGAGGCCAGGUUCAAUCAUUCCUUUCCAAAGCAUUCAUAUGCACCGCAUCCCGCAUCCCGCAUAUCAUGCCAUGUUCAUGUGUUGGUUGUUUACUAUGUUGUGUGCUUCUUUCCGGUGUUGCUUCUUCGGGUUGGUUCCGAUAACGUCGCAUUUGUGACGACCCAUUCGACUAUGUCCGUUUGUCUUCUUCAUGGACUCGUUCUUCUUCCUUGCGGGAUUUCAGGCAAGAUGACCAUACCCUCGAAAUCACUUCUAGUUGCUCGCUCUUUUGCUGUGCCUAUGCUGCGAUACCUACCACUUGCUUAUCAUGCCUCCCAUAUUGUUGAGCCAAGCCUCUAACCCACCUUGUCCUAGCAAACCGUUGUUUGGCUAUGUUACCGCUUUGCUCAACCCCUCUUAUAGCAUUGUUAGUUGCAGGUGAAGAUUGGAGUUUGUUCCUUGUUGGAACAUGGAUAUUUGUUGGGAUAUCACAAUAUCUCUUAUUUAAUUAAUGCAUCUAUAUACUUGGUAAAGGGUGGAAGGCUCGGCCUUAUGCCUGGUGUUUUGUUCCACUCUUGCCGCCCUAGUUUCCGUCAUAUCGGUGUUAUGUUCCCGGAUUUUGCGUUCCUUACACGGUUGGGUUAUAAUGGGAACCCCUUGACAGUUCGCCUUGAAUAAAACUCCUCCAGCAAUGCCCAACAUUGGUUUUACCAUUCGCCACCUAGCCUUUUCCCUUGGGAGUCACGCUCACGAGGGUCAUCAUUAUUUUAACCCCCCCCCCCGGGUCAGUGCUCCUCUGAGUGUUGGUCCAAACUAGAGCCCUGUGCAGCGCCCCCUCGGGGAAACUCGAGGUUUGGUUUUAGUUGUAUGGAGCGCUCAUCUGAGUGUGCCCUGAGAACGAUAUAUGUGCAACUCCUAUUGGGAUUUGUCGGCACAUUCGGGAGGUGUUGCUGGACUUAUUUUACCAUUGUCGAGGAUGUCUUGUAACCGGGAUGCCGAGUCUGACCGGAUUGUCUUGGUAGAAGGAAUAUCCUUCGUUGACCGUGAGAGCUUGUGAUGGGCUAAGUUGGGACACCCCUGCAGGGAUUGAACUUUCGAAAGCCGUGCCUGCGGUUGUGGGCAGAUGGGAAUUUGUUAAUGUCCGGUUGUAGAAAACCUGAAGUUUAUCUUAAUUAAAAUACAUCAACCGCGUGUGUAGCCAUGAUGGUCUCUUCUCGGCGGAUUCCUGUUAGUGAACACGGUGUUGGAGUUAUGUUUGACGUAGGUUGUUUUAGGAUCACUUCUUGAUCAUAGUUGUUCGACCGGACUUUUACCUUCUCUUCUCGCUCUCAUUUGCGUAUGUUAGCCACCAUAUAUGCUAGUCGCUGGCUGCAGCUCCACCUCAUACUUUUACCCUUCCUAUAAGCUUAAACAGUCUUGAUCGCGAGGGUGUGAGAUUGCUGAGUCCCUGUGGCUCACAGAUACUUCCAAAACCAGCUUGCAGGUGCCGAUGAUACCGUGCAGGUGACGCAACCGAGUUCAAGGAGGAGCUAGUUGAAGAUCGUGUUUGUUAUGUUGCUCCGUUUCCAGUUGAUCAGUAGUGGAGCCCAGUUGGGACGAUCGGGGAUCUAUGUAGCUUUUGGGGUAGUCUUUUUUUAUUUUGGUUCCGUAGUCGAACCUUGUGUGUAUUUGGAUUAUGUAAUGCUUUAUUCAUGUAUUGUGUGAAGUGGCGAUUGUAAGCCAGCUAUGUAUCUCUUUCCCUUAUGUAUUACAUGAGUUAUGUGAAGAUUACCUCACUUGCGACAUUGCUUUCAAUGCGGUUAUGCCUCUAAGUCAAGUUUCGACACGUGGGAGAUAUAGCUGCAUUGAGGGCGUUACAUGGGUCACAGCUGCAAGUUUCCAAAUAAGAGCGCAAUACAUGUUUUCACAAAGGGCCACAGCUACAAUUUUGCAAGCGAGGUCGCAAGUACAAGUUAUCAUGUGGCAUCACAACAGCAAGUUUUCAAAUAGGAUUACAACUACAUGUUUUCAAAUGAGAUCAAAAUUGCAAGUUUUGAAGUAAGGUCGCAACUACAAGUUUUCAAGCGAGGUUGCGACUGCAAGUUAUCAGGUGGGGUCUAAUUGUGAGUUUUCAAAUGAGGUCACAACUGCAAGUUUUCAAGCAGGGUCACAAGUACAAGUUUCAAGCAAGGCUGCAGGUGCAAGUUAUCAAAUGGGGUCGCGAGUGCAAGUUUUCACGGGGCCACAACUAUAAGUUUUUUGGUGGGGUCGCAACUGCAAAUUUUCAAACGGUGCGCAACAGCAAGAGUUUUAAAAAAGGAUCGCAAUUGCAAGUUUUUAAAAUUGUGAUGAGGGGGAGGGGAUGAUCGCAAUUGCGAGUGAUAGCGCGUGUGUCUUAACUCAUGGGUCCUAAGAUUUUUAAUGUUAUUAGGGAUUUUCAGGAGGUUCUACCACAGCUAAGGGAAGUUGACAUUUUUGUGUUAGUUGACUUUUGUAUUUUUCAGCUUCUUGGCUUUUCUUCACUUUCCAUUCACCUUUUGCUGCCUUUUUCCAUCGCAUGAGAACAAAAUUCAAAGACGAGGAGAAAUGCCUUUUUUUAGUUGCAGUCUACCCUUUUAAGAUGCAUCUGCAGUACAAUGUGACAUUUUUUUUUCAUUUCCACCCAAUAUCAGCAUGCUGGCGUCGAUGCAUAAGUCAACAUGUUUUUCACCCAUUUUUCAGUACGUUUCUAUUUAGAUCAAAAUAUAAUAUUGUUACAAUAGACCCAAUUAAAAAAAUUGCAAUGCCAUUUUUUCCUUUCCCCCCCUCCAUUUUAUUUUAUUUUAUUAUUUUGUAGGAAGCACUACAUGUAUAUUUCUUACAGGUGGAUUAGCAAAAAGAAAAUUUGAACAAAUUUUCAAUAGGAACAUGUCAUUCAAUGAAAUAUUUUUUUUACAUACAAAGCAUAUUUUUUGAACCAAAGAAUAAAACAACAAUAGAAAAACUCGAAAAGGAAAACGAGCAUAGGAGUCACGGUCACAUGGGCGUGUUCAGGCUAGUAUGUGAGUUCUUGGAGCCGAACUUUAUCAUUUUAGACCACCCGCGCGUUUAUAUUGUCAAAAAAAGACCACCUCAGAAUGGUAUUAUCAAAACUACUAUGGCGACAGACCCGACAGCCGAUACGUGGCACCUGCUAACAUAGUGAGAGACAGCAAGGCCUGCCGCCACAGUCCGUGACGACAGCUUGGGCAUAACAGGAAUUCAGACAAGCUGACUGUGCAACGGAACGGGAGGCCCCCGGUGCCCUGCCGCCAGAGCAUAUGGCGGCACCCUGUGUUGUUGGUGCAUAUCGUUGCGACGGGUUGUACUACUGCUUCAACCAAUCGUUAAUUUCAGUAUAUGGUCAAAUAGCACUCUAUACUAUAAAAAUGUAGUACGUACCAUGCUUUACGUUCACAAUUGGGAACAUGUAUGUGUUGUUCUUUCCAAUGAAGGAAUUGAUGGAUCCUCCCAUCUGACUGGCGGUCGAAGAGCUAGCAGAGUGAAUGAUCAACGUGAGAGCAAGUAUAAUAAGGUGACAUAAGCAGACCAUAAGGAUUUAAAUAUGAUAUUGUCGCUGAGUUAGAAAAGAGAGAAGAUGAGAGAGAAGAGAAGCGGGUUGUAGGCUUAUAGCCAGCACAAGCUCCAAAAAGCUUUGUGACACUGGAAGGUGGGUCAUAUGUUGACAAAGUAGUACUUUUUUUAUAGCCAACUAUUCUAUGUGUUGGCUAUUAUAUUGAUUGUAGAUGACAUGACAACAUGUUAUAACCAGUAGCUGGCUAUAUUAUUAACCAUGGAGGAGUUGUCGAUUCAAAGCCCAAUCAUGUCAGAGCAGCACCAAAAGAGGGUGCCGCCACACGCGAUGGUGGCAGGGCCCACCGGCCUCUGUUCCGUUGUAGCUGUCCUGCUCGGCCGAAUUCCUGUUAUGCUUGGGCCACCGCUGUGGGAUGUUGCGGAAGGUGCCACGUGUCAGCUGUCGGACCUGCCGCCAUGGUAGUUUUUGCAAUACCAUUCAGAGGUGAUCUUUUCUGAUAAUACAAACACGUAGGCGGUAUAAAAUGAUAAAAUAUCAUUGGGGCCAGCCACAGUCGGGCCAACUCGGGAGAGAAGAAGACAAUGCAUGAUGAACAAUGGCCUAACUACUAAGUUAUGGGAAGAUACAUUAGCCAUGCAAUACGCGUGUCUCUAUCAUAUUGUGCAAUGAAAAGAUGUCUUUGUUGUCUCUGUGAUGGGCCAGGUAUCAUUGAAUGCUGCCUUUGAAAACCACUGACUAGGGACAAAUGUACUAGUUAAACCUUGUUGAAAGGUUGAUGAUGGUCAAUAUUUCACAUGAAUCAGAUACAUUCUAUUGUUGGAAGUGAACUACUUCUAGUUCCUUCUCGGUUAGAUCCAUGUAUACAGACUUCAUCAAUGAUAGGCAAUCUUUCCACCAUAAAUAUAUUUGAAAAAUGAAAGUCCCGUUGACAAUUAAAUCUUCUUGUGGUUUUUAGAUCUCAAGGUCAUCUUGACAAAAGAUAAACUAAAUAAAAGGAAUAGACAAGGAUGCACUAAGUGUUGCUUUGUGACGAUGAGGAGUCGAUUCAACAUUUAUUUCUUCACUGCUCACUUGCCAAGCUCUUAUGACAAUUUACCUCCACCCAUGAGUAGUAUGAGUAUAUGCAGAAACUGGCUAGUGGGGUGCAUCCAAAGUUGAAGUCUCACAUCCCUGUGAAAACUUGCACUUUACUUUGGGUCAUUUGGAACACUCGUAAUGAUUUUAUUUUAACAAUAUGAAAGUUUCAAUUUUGUGUAGAUUAUCUUCAACGUCAUCAGCCGGAUUCAUACGUGACCAUUACUACACAAGGAGGAGGAUUGGGCACCAUGACCUUCGGGUUCAACCGAUGAGAGAUGGUCUCUUGAAAUUAGUUCAACCAGUUUGGUUGACAGCCUACUAGCAGGUUUGUGAUGCAUGAAACUCAAUUUUCUACUUCAAUUGGGGCAACCAUAUAUGACACUAGACCUGCAACGCACCACCUGGCGCGCGGUGCCCGGUCCUAACACUUUGAGUAAGCAUGUGUGUCAGCUAUACUUUAAUAGUGAGGCAAGCUAAGUAUGUAUAACCAGCACAAUAACUCAGUGCGCCCGGUUAAAGUGUAAUGGCAGUGCCUAAACGAAAGGCUCAUAGUAAGGAUAUACCGAAAGCAAGUAUUGUUGCUACUUGGUAUAAGAUCUUUUUAUUAAAGUCAUGGCAAAAGGCAAGGAAAUUAAAUGUGCCAAAUGCAAGGUAAGUAUGUCAUAUUUUGUUAACAGAACUUCUCAUUUGGAUUUUCAUGUGAAAUGCGAAUAUAUAUUUUAUUCCAAAAGCGAGUAAAGUUAGAUACAAACAUCAUACUUAUUACAUAGCAACAGCAAGCCAUAGCGGCAACGAAAUAAGGAGCUUAUAUAGUUCCACAUAAGCAUACUCUUAGAUAGCUUCACUUGAUCGUCUCGUCAUUCUGACACUUCACAGGACACAUCACAUGAACCUGAUGUGAGUAAUUUGUUUAGUCAGUUGAAAAAAUAUGAUGUGUUCUUCAUGGACAACAGAAUUAUCAAUCUUGAACCAAAAGUCAGUUAUGUAAUACUGCAGCAAGCAUCACUAAAAAGUAAAUAAUAAGGAAAUAUACAAAUAUACACAUUCAUAUUGCUGAUAUCAUGAAAAAAAAUAGAAUACAGCUAUAGGGAUUCCCUGAAUCCCGUGCAUCUGGAGGCAAUGCAGAUCAUCCCAACCCAUUUGCCUCCUGUCCCUAUAGAACAUAAUUAAUAAGGAAAUAACAACAAUGCUCGUAGAUACACAUAAUUGACUCUUUCUUGAUCAAACGUUAGGUUGAAAGCGGAUUCAAUUGUUCAGUGAUGAAUUUAACAACUUGGUUUAGAAGCAGCACUGUCCUAUGCCAUGUUUUUCUAUAUAACUAAAUAACAUACAUGAUGACAAUCCUAUGGCCUAAGAAUUGUUUGAGAUCAUGCCAAUGUACAGAAACAUAAAAAACUAUCUACAAAUCCAGGUACAUAUUUGUUUUAGAGAGAACACCUCGUCUUUUUGAAAGAAGCAAACUGACCAACUUCAGACUAUAUACGAAUCAAACAUGUAUGGGAAACAUAGUUCAAGAAGAUUCCAUUUUAAUCUCUUUCAAAAAUAAUGUUUUCUCUUCAGCACACCAUUUUGAUUUAAACCAUGAAAGGUCCCUCUGCUGAGUUUGCCUCCAAGCACAAACCCAGAAUUUCCUACAUCAUCACAUACCUUUAGCAUCUGACCCGAGUAAAAUGAUGUGUUCAUUAGAGAGAUAGAUAGAGAGAGAGAGAGAGGUGAAUCUGGAUGAAGUAGAGAUGGGGGCUGGAGUUGGAGGCGCCAGAGCUCCGACCAUCUCCAAGGCGGUGUUCCUAGAGGCGGCUCGCCAUUGGGGAACGGAGUUGAGAGCUGGAGUAGGCCACUCUAGGGACUGGAUGUGCUGUCGGCCCCUCAACAGUGCGAGAGAAGGGUCGUGCUCCUCCCGCCGAGUGCACACGAGCAUGCGGCCAGCCGCACCACACAUGGUUUCAUUUUAGCUAACCCUACAUCAUACAUUGUACAAAAACACAUGGAAAUGCAAAGCAAACAAAUAAGUAGAUAUGACCGGUAAUGGACAAUAUUAACUUACUGGACACACGGUCUUGUGUAUCGAGUAUAAGAGUAUAACCACAGAGAAGUGAUAAACAUGUGUUUGAUGGCAAGAGAUAAAUUAUAAGACAAGUCACUACACCUUAUGAACAACUAUUAUUCUCUUAUUAUUACCGUGCCACCCAUGCCAUCAGAGAAACUUUGAGCUAUUAUUUUUCCAGACUAUAUGACCUUCUUUUGUUUAUUUUCUAUGCAUAGAUUGUUCACUUCCUUGAUCUAUAGUUUUAUAUUGCCAACAACUGAUCCAAACAGCAGAAAGGCAAAAAUUAGGCAUGAUAUAUACAUACAUUUUUCUGAUGAAUACAGAUAAUAAGGGUUGAUCACAACUAUAGGUUGUUAUGAUCCAAAUGCUGGUGCAUAUUACUACUCUAGGCCAGUGUGCUACCUCUGGUGUCUUGGUCCUCUCACAAAGGCUCGGUUCACUGCACAUAGUUUCAAUCCUUGACUUUUUAACAUGGUGGCGCUUACGAAGGCAUCUACCUGAAUAACCGAACCGACCAACAUGUCAAACACAACAUCAUCGAUGGAAUUCAAAGAUAAUGGCGCCUGCUACUGAAGGUAUACAUACAUACUUUCGUCAUCAUUGAAGUAGAUUGGGUCAUCGACAUUGACCCCUUUCAUAAGUACCUAGUAUUCGAACCCUAGUAAAAGUGAAAUUUAAACACAAGAGGAUUGUUAUUAGCAUGGGCCUAGCAAGAAUAGUCUUAAUUUAAAUAUCAAACAAUCACAUCGACAACCAAAACUGGAGUUAAUAGAGUACAUCAGAACUGAAUCUAUGCAUGUUUACCAAAUUUGAAUUCAUAUUAAUUAGCAGGAAAGUAAUAUUGGCAAACUGAUCUCCUAAUAAAAUUGAAUCAGAGACAAAUAUCCAAAGGCCCUCCUAAAUUCUGUGCGUUUCUCCGCAUUCUUGUAAGUUAGAAAUGGGGGACCAUAAAUUCCUCGAUUAGAAAUAGCCAAUAUAUCAAAUACAGUUUGGAGGCUUAUCCAUGACAUAGGUUAUCUUGCUAUGAACACUUGAACAGAGCAAGCACAAACUAAGGUAGGGAAAAAAAGAACAGGAGGCUACCUCCAGGCCAGCACAACUAGAGCACGGAGGCAGCUGCCAGUAACAAUGAGUUCACAACAGCGAUGAAUUCAAUGUAAAUGUAUAUUAUCAUUUGUAUAUGCAGUUGCUACCUGAGUCCUAAAAAGAGUGGAAUAAGUGUGAGCUGAGAGAAUGGACCAAGACAAAUUUAAAAAUUAUUUCUUGCACAAGUCUAUUUGCAUAUGAUUUUUAAUUUGGAAGCCACCUGGCAUGAUAUUUUUAACUGAAUUAAAUGUCCAAUACUAUGUCCAGAAUUAAACCUGGCAUUGACCGAAAUCAUGGGAUUACUGAAAUUAUAUUUGUAUCCGAAAACCCAACUAUCUAUAGAAAAUCAGAGAGAAUCUAAAAGGACCAUCUGACUAAAUAUUCUCGUACGACAGAUUCUACCAUGCCACAGCGAUGUGCAUUCUACUUUGACACUUUUUUAUUUUCUUUCACUGAAGCGUGCAACUAAAAAUACCAAACCAGGGUUUACAAUCAAAGACAAGAUUGCAUUAUUGUACUUGAGCAGAAACCAAUACAACUACUCAUGCAUUGGUGUGGCAGUGUUUUAUUCACGAUACCAUUUAUAGAAGCUAACGAAAUGUGUACACUGAACCAGGACAUUCCUUUUUCUAUGGUGAAAAUAAAUAACUAUGCACUCUUGGCCUUCUUCUGGCCAUAUAAAUUCUCAAGCACUUUCAGAUUUCUCAAACAUUGCUUUUCUCUGACAACAUAUCCAUUAUCCAACUGAUUCAAGCAAUUAACUCCGAACAUGGCAGCUGAGAGCCACUGUCUUCCUCAACAGAAAGGAAGAGCAAACUAAGAACGGGCUUGACCUAGCAAAAUACAAUUAGCGAAAUACCAGGAUGCACAUAUUCCAGUGACCGCCCUUGUCCACGUAUGUGGGCACAUAUUCUGUCGUGCUAAAUAUUAAUUAAAGCGCUGCAAGCAUGGAAGGGAGGAAGGAAAGGCCGUCACUUUACCACUAUCGUAUAAAUUGAUGUUGCAGUUGCUGUCGCGGUGCUUCUGUUGGUGCAAGGGAGUGAGCUCACCGGAGAUGGCUGGUUUCACCGGGCCAUGGUUGAUGGCGCCUGCAUCUAUUGGUCUUCACUGCAUCUGACGAUGGUGGUGGUGCUGCUACUGCGAAGAAGGUCCUAGACCAGGCAGCAGCUACACGCCUCCUCUGCUGCUUGCCGCAGCUCGACCUUCGUAGGCUGGAUGGUACCUCUUCCAUCUCCAUCAGGUGGCCAAGUUGACAGCAAGUCAUGCGCACGACGAAAGUGUCACCACCCGCCGAUCUAGCUGCAAGACGAGAAACGAAUCGGGAACAUGUAUACCCAACAGAUAGCUAGGAGAGAACCAUACGAAAUCGAGAGGAAGAGCACCUGAAGGACAACGGCAAUAGCGAUGUGGAUGGACGUCUUGGCGGCUGAUGCUCCUCCUGUGAUGGCGAGGUGCGGCCGUCGCCUUUGGCCCUUCGUCGCUGGUGACAUGCAGGUCGUCCCACGCGCAGACGUGGCUAUGGGUGGAGAAGACGAACCAGAGGCCGUCGGGGUGUGCUCGAUGCGACCCUCGUACGGUACUACCAGUCCCUAGCCUUGCUCCUAUGCUGCUGAUACGUCUCCGUCGUAUUUAUAUUUUUUGACUGUUUCAUGCCAAUAUUUAUACAACUUUUACAUAUUUUUGGCAACUUUUUAUAUGAUUUAUUGGACUAACCUAUUGAUUCAGUGCCCAGUGUCAGUUCCUGUUUUCUGCAUGUUUUUUGUAUGAUUAUCCAUAUCAAACAAAGUCGAAAUGCAAUAAAAUUUUACGAAGAAUUAUUUUGGAAUGUAUAUGAUUUUGGGGAGUUGGAAUCACCGCAAACGGAGGCCCGAGGUGGGCACGACCCACCAGGGCGCGAUCCCGGAGCGAGGCGUGGCAUGGUGGGUUGUGCUCACCUCGUACGUCGGUUGGGGCUCUACUUCGGGCGCAAGAAAUCUUAUAUCUGAAAAAAUCGUGUUAAAAUCUCAGCGCAAUUGGAGUUACAGAUCUCCGAGAAUAUAAUAAAUGAUUUUCGGCCAGAUCUGCAGAACGCGAAACGGAAGAGAACAAAGAGGGAGAUCUAAUCUCGGAGGGGAUCCCACCCCUCCGCCGCCAUGGAGGCCAUGGACCACAGGGGGAACUCUCCUCCCAUCCAGGGGGAGUCCAAGGAAGAAGAAGAAGGAGGGGGCUCUCUCUACCUCGCUUCCGGUGGUGCCGGAGUGCCACCGGGGCAAUGAUCGGGACGGUGAUCUACAUCAACAAUCUUGCUACCGUCAACACCAACUCUCUCUCCCUCUAUGCAGCGGUGUAACACCCCUUCUCCCCGCUGCAAUCUCUACUUAAACAUGGUGCUCAACUCCAUAUAUUAUUUCCCAAUGAUCUAUGGUUAUCCUAUGAUGUUUGACUAGAUCCAUUUUGUCCCGUGGGUUAAUCAUGAUCUUGGUUGGUAUGAUUGUAUAUUUUAUUUAUGGUGUUGUCCUACGGUGCCCUCCGUUCUUGCCCAAAUGUGAGGGGGGCCCGCUGUAGGGUGUUGCAAUAUGUUCAUGGUUCGCUUAUGGUGGGUUGAGAGAGUGACAGAAACUUAAACCCGAGUAGGUGGGUAUGACGUAUGGGAAUAAAGAGGACUUGAUACUUAAUGCUAUGGUUGGGUUUAACGACCUUAAUGGUAUUUAGUAGUUGCGGAUGCUUGCUAGAGUUCCAAUCGUAAGUGUGUAUGAUCCAAGUAGAGAAAGUAUGUUAGCUCAUGCCUCUCCCUCAUAUAAAGUUGCAAGAAUGAUUACUAGUACUUGUUAUCGAUUUCCUAGGGACAAAUAACUUUCUUGUUGACACGAACCCUUUUACUAAACACCCAACUCUUUUUUAUCUUGCAAAGUACUUCUAUUUUUGUUCUUGCAAAGUAGUUCUAGCAUCACUCCUACAAACUAUUUUCAUACUUGUUUCCGGUAAAGCAAAUGUCAAGUGUGCGUAGAGUUGUAUUGGUGGUCGAUAGAACUUGAGGGAAUAUUUGUUCUGCCUUUAGCUCCUCGUUGGGUUCGACACUCUUAUUUAUCGAAGAAGACUACAAACGAUCCCCUAUACUUGUGGGUUAUCAAGACCUUUUUCUGGUGCUGUUGUCGGGGAGCAAUAGCGCGGGGUGAAUAUUCUCGCGUGUGCUUGUUUGCUUUAUCACUAAGUAAUUUUUAUUUUUGCUCUUGUUUUCUAUCUUUAGUUAUGGGUAGGAAAUGCAAAAUACCAAAAAAUUAGUUGUACCUGCUAAACCAAUGGUUGAAGAACCACCCAAAACCUAUCAUACUGCUGAAGGUUUCUACUUGGAUCAUCUUCGAUCCAUUUGUGCUCAUGCUGAAAACCCAACUACUCCCUCCGUCCCAUAAUAUAAGAACGUUUUUCAAGCUAAAACAGUUUGAAAAACGUUCUUAUAUUGUGGGACGGAGGAAGUAACUUAGAUGAGGGAAAAUCAUUAGAUGAGCAUGCUUGUUUUGUGCGACACCGCUGUGUGAAAAAGGGAAACUUCUACAACAUCAAUUUAAUACUAUGCAAUGCUAUGCUUGGAAUUUAUGUGAAUUAUAUGAUUUUACUUGUUGUUACGAAGACCCUAAGAAACACCUUCCCUACCAAUGUGAGUUUAUUGAUAAUAGAAUUGUAUCUUCUUAUACCAAAGGUGUUUAUAAUUACUUUGAUAUUGAACAAACUGAAGAAUUUGUUGCUUUUAAGGGUUCUAUGAAAUUGCUUCUUUGAUUGAAAAGUAUGAUGCUACUCUUUACAAAUCUAAAAAUCUUGCCAUACUUAAAUAUUGUUAUGAUAAUUAUGCUUCUAAUGCCUAUGUUAAACCAUAUAUUGAGGACUCCUCCGCUGUCAAAGAAGAGACUAACAUUUUGCAAGAGUCUAUGGAAGAAGAAAAUGAUGAAACUCUGAGCUCAUUGGAUGAAAAACAUGAGGAGGGAGCGAAGAACAAAAGGAGGAAGAGCGGAUUGAUCACCCGAGCCCACCUUCUAAUGAGAGUAACUCUUUAUCCCAUACAUUGUUUAAUUCCCCUUCAUUCUUAUCGAAGGAUGAAUGCUAUGAUGAUUGCUAUGACCCCGUUGAUUCAUUUGAAAUAUCCCUUUUUGAUAAACUUGAUGCUUGCUAUGAUUAUGGCCAAGAUGCCAAUAUGAAUUAUGCUUAUGGAGAUGAACUUGUAGCAGUUCCUUAUAUUAAGAAUGAAAUUGUUGCUAUUGCACCCACACAUGAUAGUCCUAUUAUCUUUUUGAAUUCUCCAAACUACACUAUAUCGGAGAAGUUUGCACUUAUUAAGGAUUAUAUUGAUGGGUUGCAUUUUGCCACUACACAUGAUAAUUUUGAUGAAUAUAAUAUGCAUGUGCUUGUUGCUCUGUUACCUCUUGAGCACUUGCAUUGGUUUUCCCUUGAAGAUGAAAGGGUGAUGCAGCAGAGUAGCGUAAGUAUUUCCCUCAGUUUUUGAGAACCAAGAUAUCAAUCCAGUAGGAGGCCACACACGAGUCCCUCGUACCUACACAAACAAAUAAAUCCUCACAACCAACACGAUAAGGGGUUGUCAAUCCCUACACGGUCACUUACGAGAGUGAGAUCUGAUAGAUAUGAUAAGAUAAUAUUUUUGGUAUUUUUAUGAUAAAGAUGCAAAGUAAAAUAAAAGGCAAAGGAAAUAACUAAGUAUUGGAAGAUUAAUAUGAUGGAAGAUAGACCCGGGGGCCAUAGGUUUCACUAGUGGCUUCUCUCGAGAGCAUAAGUAUUCACGGCGGGUAAACAAAUUACUGUUGAGCAAUUGACAAAAUUGAGCAUAGUUAUGAGAAUAUCUAGGUAUGAUCAUGUAUAUAGGAAUCACGUCCGAGACAAGUAGACCGACUCCUGCCUGCAUCUACUACUAUUACUCCACACAUCGACCACUAUCCAGCAUGCAUCUAGAGUAUUAAGUUCAAGAGAACAGAGUAACGCUUUAAGCAAGAUGAAAUGAUGUAGAGGGAUAAACUCAUGCAAUAUGAAUAAACCCCAUCUUGUUAUGCUCGAUGGCAACAAUACAAUACGUGCCUUGCUGCCCCUACUAUCACUAGGAAAGGACACCGCAAGAUUGAACCUAAAGCUAAGCAUUUCUUCCAUUGCAAGAAAGAUCAAUCUAGUAGGCCAAACCAAACUGAUAAUUCGAAGAGACUUGCAAAGAUAACCAAUCAUACAUCAAAAAAUUCAGAGAAGAUUCAAAUAUUGUUCAUGGAUAAACUUGAUCAUAAACCCACAAUUCAUCGGUCUCAACAAACACACCGCAAAAGAAGAUUACAUUGAAUAGAUCUCCACAAGAGAGGGGGAGAACUUUGUAUUGAGAUCCAAAAAGAGAGAAGAAGCCAUCUAGCUAAUAACUAUGGACCCGUAGGUCUGAGGUAAACUACUCACACUUCAUCGGAAGGGCUAUGGUGUUGAUGUAGAAGCCCUCCAUGAUCGAUGCCCCCUCCGGCGGAGCUCCGGAAUAGGCCCCAAGAUGGGAUCUCGUGGAUACAGAAAGUUACAGCGGUGGAAUUAGGGUUUUGGCUCCGUAUCUGGUAGUUUGAGGGUAUGUAGGUAUAUAUAGGAGGAAGGAGUACGUCAGUGGAGCAACAGGGGGCCCACAAGGGUGGAGGGCGCGCCCAGGGGGGUAGGCGCGCCCCCUACCUCGUGGCAUCCUGAUUGAUGUCUUGACGUAGUGUCCAAGUCCUUUGGAUCAUGUUCGUUCUGAAAAUCACGUUCCCGAAGGUUUCAUUCCGUUUGGACUCCAUUUGAUAUUCUGUUUCUGCGAAACCCUAAAAUAGGCAAAAAAACAGCAAUUCUGGCUAUGCUCCAUCUUCACCACACAAAGUAUUCAAAUCAUGCACAACCCCGAUGACAAGCCAAGCAAUUGUUUCAUACUUUUAAUGUUCUCAAACUUUUUCAAUUUUCACGCAAUACAUGAGCGUGAGCCAUGGACAUAGCACUAUAGGUGGAAUAGAAUGGUGGUUGUGGAGGAGAAAAAAAAGGAGAAGAUAGUCUCACAUCAACUAGGCGUAUCAACGGGCUAUGGAGAUGCCCAUGAAUAGAUAUCAAUGUGAGUGAGUAGGGAUUGCCAUGCAAUGGAUGCACUAGAGCUAUAAAUAUAUGAAAGCUCAACAAAAAGAGACUAAGUGGGUGCGCAUCCAACUUGCUUGCUCACGAAGACCUAGGGCAUUUUGAGGAAGCCCAUCAUUGGAAUAUACAAGCCAAGUUCUAUAAUGAAAAAUUCCCACUAGUAUAUGAAAGUGAUAACAAAGGAGACUCUCUAUCAUGAAGAUCAUGGUGCUACUUUGAAGCACAAGUGUGGAAAAAAAGAUAGUAGUAUUGCCCCCUUUUUUGGGCCUUCUUUUUUUCUUUGGCCUUUCUCUCUCUUUUUUUAUUUGGGACAAUACUCUAUGAAUGAUGAUCAUCGCACUUCUAUUUUAGAACUCAAUGAUUACAACUCGAUACUAGAACAAAGUAUGACUCUAUAUGAAUGCCUCCAGCGGUGUACCGGGAUAGCAAUGAUGCAUGAGUGACUUAUUUGAAAGAAUUAUGAACGGUGGCUUUGCCACAACUAAAAUGUCAACUACAUGAUCAUGCAAAGCAAUAUGACAAUGGUGGAGCGUGUCAUGAUAAACAGAACGGUGGAAAGUUGCAUGGAAAUAUAUCUCGGAAUGGCUAUGGAACUGCCAUGAUAGGUAGGGUGGCUGUUUUAAGGAAGGCAUAUGGUGGGUGUAUGAUACCAGCGAAAAGUGUGCAGUAUUAGAGAGGCUAGCAAUGGUGGAAGGGUGAUAGUGCGUAUAAUCCAUGGACUCAACAUUAAUCAUAAAGAACUCACAUACUUAUUGCAAAAGUCUAUUAGUUAUAGAAGCAAAGUACUACACGCAUGCUCCUAGGGGGAUAGAUUGGUAGGAAAAGACCAUCGCUCGUCCCCGACCGCCACUCAUAAGGAGGACAAUCAAUAAAUACAUCAUGCUCCGACUUCUUAACAUAACGGUUCACCAUACGUGCAUGCUACGGGAAUCACAAACUUCAACACAAGCAUUUCUCAAAUUCACAAUUACUCAACUAGCACAACUCUAAUAUCACCAUCUCCAUAUCUCAAAACAAUUAUCAAGUUUCAAACUUAUCAUAGUAUUCAACACACUCAUAAGAAAGUAAUCUGCAAAACCAUCUCCAUUAUUGGACUCCGUUUGAUAUUCUUUUUCUGCAAAACCCUAAAAUAGGCAAAAAACAACAAUUCUGGGCUGGGCCUCCGGUUAAUAGGUUAGUCCCAAAAAUAAUAUAAAAGUGUAUAAUAAAGCCCAAUAAUAUCCAAAACAGAAUAUAAUAUAGCAUGGAACAAUAAAAAAUUAUAGAUACGUUGGAGACGUAUCAUGCUCCUACUUGCAAUUAUUAUGAGAGAGGAACUACAUCUCUGCCUCUCUAUGUUUUCAACACGAUAGAAUUGCAAGAAAUUGCUUAUACUAUGCAUUGGCCUUUACUUGAUGUGAAUGAAUUGUUCUUGUAUGACAUGCUGAUGCAUAGGAAGAGAGUUAAACUUCGUCAUUGCAUGAUAUAUGUUGCUUUGUACUCAUUACUAAAUGCCAAAUCAUUGUUAAUUAAAAUUGGCUUUGAUAUACCUUGGGAUCCGGGUGGAUACAUUACUUGAGCACUUUAUGCCUAGCUUAAUGGCUUUAAAUAAAGCGCUGCCAGGGAGACAACCCGGAAGUUUAGAGAGUCAUUUCUUUCUGUUGAGUGCUUUAUAAAGUUUAAAAACAAAAAAUAUAGAGGGGAACUUAAAAAUCUUUUCACAAAAGAGAAGCGAUCGGAAGUUAUGCAUUGGAGAAGUGAGGGUCGGCCUUGAACACUUGUGUUCAUGCUCAUGGAAAUAAUGUAGAUUGUUUCAUGAAGAUUCUCACAGAAAUAAUUAUCCCCUUGUACAAAUCCAUUGUAUUAUAAAAAUAAUGUGCCAAGGUUUGCCUUUAGGAUGAUUAAAUUGCUUGUUGGUUUGCGCAGUGUAAAACAGAAACUUUGGUUGUAGUGCUCGAUUUUACAUUUUUUUACUGGAACGUCAAACGGUUCUGAAACUUUUUGCAUUGUCUUUCUAUACAAAAAUUUUAUUUUGUCCUAAUUUUCAAAAGUUUUUGAGUUGCAGAAGUAUGGUGGAUGUUCAAAUCUUUACAGAUUGUCCUAUUUUCACAUAUUGCUGUUAUAGCUUCAUUAUUUGCGUAUGUUUGAAUUCUUGUUGAAGCCUCCUUGACUUGGAGCCAUAGAAUUGUGAUAGAAUACAGUGGGUAAUGUUUUUUUAUAAUUAUACAAUAAUGUUACAGCAGUACAUGAUGGGAUUUCAUUGCCAUAUUCACUAACCUCGCCACUAAAAGUUCGGUUAAGUUUUGUGUGGAUGAAGUGUUCGAAGAUCGAGGAGGUCUCGAUGUGAGGAGAAGGAGAGGCAAUGGCUCAAGCUUGGGGAUGCCCAAGGCACCCGCAGUAAAUAUUCAAGGAGACUCAAGUUUCUAAGCUUGGGGAUGCCCCGGAAGGCAUCCCAUCUUUCUUCAACAAGUAUUGGUAUGUUUUUGGUUUCGUUUCGUUCGCGUGAUAUGUGCAACUCUUGGAGCGUAUUUUGCUUUUAGUUUUCAUUUUUAUUUUAUGCACCAUGCUGGUAUGAGAUAGUCCAUGGUUGAUUUAUAUAAUGCUCAUUGCAUUUCACUUAUAUCUUUUGAGUAUGGGUUUAUAGAAUGCUUCAUGUGCUUCACUUAUAUCAUUUGAAGUUUGGAGUGCAUGUUUCUCUUCACAUAGAAAACCAUUGUUUGAAAAAUGCUCUUUUGCUUCACUUAUAUUUAUUAGAGCAUGAUUAAGGGAGUCCUGGAUUAGGGGGUAUCCGGACAGCCAGAUUAUAUCCUUUGGCCGGACUGUUGGACUAUGAAGAUACAAGAUUGAAGACUUCGUCCCGUGUUUGGAUGGGACUCUACUUGGCGUGGAAGGCAAUCUAGGCAAUUAGGAUAUGUAUAUAUCCUCCUUUGUAACCGACCUUGUGUAACCCUAGCCUCCUCCAGUGUCUAUAUAAACCGGAGGGUUUUAGUCCGUAGGACAACAGACAAUCAUACCAUAGGCUAGCUUCUAGGGUUUAGCCUCUCCGAUCUCAUGGUAGAUCAACUCUUGUACUACUCAUAUUAUCAAGAAUAAUCAAGCAGGAUGUAAGGUUUUACCUCCAUCGAGAGGGCCCGAACAUGGGUAAAACAUCGUGUCCCCUGCCUCGUGUUACCAUCCGCCUUAGACGCACAGUUCGGGACCCCCUACCCGAGAUCCACCGGUUUUGACACCGUCAUUGGUGCUUUCGUUGAGAGUUCCACUGUGCCGUCGCCGUAAGGAAGGAUGCCUCGUCUCGUUGUUGAAAACAACAUUACCGCCGGGGGAGCCCUGGCUGUCGGCCAAACUCUCCGGCUUGGCAGUUUCAUCAUGACCGCCCGUUCGGCCGCUGCACCGACAAUGACCUCUCGGGUCAUCAAAAACAGCCUCCACGUCGGCUCGGAAUUCACCGAGCAGAUGGAUCCAAUGGAGCUCUCUUCCCUAAACGAGCUCUUGGAUUGUAUCGCCGCCUUGGGAGUCGCUACAGACUAUGAUCGGAUUGGGCUUAAACCCGACCAAAGGGAGAUUAAUUCUUGACCGGUCACCCAUCAUAUUGCGUUGGUGGAGGAACAAUGCGGCGAUUCUUCCUCUAUCUUGAGGACUAACUAUGUCUGGAUUCCUGAGCUCUCCGAGCCGGAUACCCAUUUACGGGAGGACAUCACCCAAGCCCUGAACUUAGAGUCAGGCAACGGGCCAAAAUUAUCGGGCAACACUCCGGAAUUUGAGCUUCCAAGAUUGGAAACUCCUUGGCCCCUGGGUCUCAGAUCGGGUAGGGGUUCGGACUCAAAUCCACCCACCCACCCAGACAUAAACGAUCUUUCCCACAUCAGGCAAGAGCCCCAUGAAACAGUACAUCAUUAUUGGGCCAGAUUCCUCCUUGUGAUGAACAUGGUUAAGGACUGUCGCGAGGAAGACACAGUCUCAUUUUUCUGCAAUAAUUGCACGGACAAGGGAAUCCUUAACGCCUUAAGUCGCCGUGACAUAUCACGCUUCGCUGACUUGGCAUCCAUAGUACAAAAGUACUGUGCGAUGGAAAGUGCCUGGAAAACCGAAACAAAAUUUUGGGAUAAUCCGGCUCCGAAUAUACAUCCAGUCUGAAGUAAAAGGGUGCACUAUCAUUAGACACCCGAGUUAAUUACAAAGAAGCAAAAACCCUCUACAGGGCAUGGAACCGUAUUGGAGGGAUGGCUCAACGGACCCUGCAAAAUUCAUAGUACAGCAGAUACCAUACCAACACACAGCCUUAGAGCAUGUUGGAUACUCCGGCAGGUGGCCAAAAGCGGCGAGGAUCUUCUCAUCCCAGAUGCCACAGAGCACCAUCCCAGGGAUAAAAAUACGGUAUUAACAGUCUUUGAGACCUUCGCAUCAAAUAAUAGGCGCAAGCGAACACUCCGCAGCAUUGCCGAAAUCUGCCACGUAUCAGCAAUAAAUCCAUGGAGCGACAGGGCUAUUACCUUCAAUGCCAGUGACGAACCUAAAUUCCGAACAACCCGAGCACCAGCUGCACUGGUCCUCAGUCUAAUUGUGGACGGCUUUCAACUCAUCAAAGUACUCAUGGACGGCGGCAGUGGAUUAAACCUCAUCUACGAAGAAACUCUUCAAAAAAUGGAAAUAGACUGGAACCGCAUUGAGCAAAGCAGCACAACCUUCAGAGGAAUCAUCCCCAGUCGGGAAGCACGCUGUGCUGGGACAAUCACACUAGAUGUGGUAUUCAGCACACCAGAGAACUAUAGGUCCGAAGAAAUUACAUUCCAAGUGGCCCUGUUCAGUAGUGGAUACCACGCCCUUUUGGGACGGGAGGCGUUCACAAUCUUCCAAGCCAUACCCCAUUAUGGGUACAUGAAGCUUAAAAUGCCCGGGCCCAACGGAAUCAUCACUCUCGUUAGUGAUCCGGACACAGCACUCUGUGCCGAAAACAAAACAGCUGCAUUGGCCCUCGAGGCUUUAUCCGAAGCCCUUUCGGCCGAGGAAUUAACUGCGCUACGCUCCAUAGUGGACAGGGACGACGUGAUACUUGACAAGAGAUCCAAGUCCACCUCUUUUAAACCAACGGAUGAAAUAGUCAAAUUCCAAGUCCACCCAACGGACCCUACAAAAACAGCCUCCAUCGGGGCACAAUUAAACCCCGCCGUGGAGGCCGCACUACGAGAGUUCCUGCGCGAGAAUUGGGACAUAUUCUCCUGGCACCCCUCAGACAUGCCAGGAAUCCCACGCAGGCUGGCCGAGCACAGCCUCAAUAUCCUAAAGGGAUUCAAGCCGGUCAAGCAGGCUCUUCGGUGUUUCUCUGAACCUAAGAGACAAGCUAUGGGAGAGGAACUAGCCAAGUUAUUGGAGGUCGGAUUCAUUAGAGAAAUAAAACACCCGGACUGGCUAGCAAACCUAGUGAUGGUACCAAAGAAGGACAAAUCCUGGCGCCUAUGUGUCGAUUUCAAGGACCUCAACAAGGCUUUCCCAAAGGCUCCCUUCCCCCUCCCCCGCAUUGAUCAAAUUAUCGAUGCUACCGCAGGACACGAAUCAUUGUGUUUCCUCGACGCAUACUCCGGCUACCACCAAAUCAAGAUGGCGGAGUCUGACCAAGCCGCAACGGCAUUUAUCACAUCAUACGACCCCUUCUGUUUCAACACAAUGCCUUUUAGGCUCAAAAAUGCCGGCGCAACAUAUCAGCGCAUGAUUCAAACAUGUCUAGAGAAACAGAUCGGCAAAACAGUAGAGGCAUACGUAGAUGAUGUGGUCAUCAAAACCAAACACGUCGACUCUCUAAUAGACGACUUGAGGCUCACAUUCGACAACCUCCGAACAUACGACAUCAAGCUCAAUCCGGUAAAAUGCGUCUUCGACAUACCAGCCGGAAAGCUCCUGGGUUUCAUUAUCUCCAGGUUUCAUUGUCUCCGAACAUACGACAUCAAGCUCAAUCCGGAAAAACACGUCGACUCUCUAAUAGGCGACUUGAGGCUCACAUUCGACAACCUCCGAACAUACGACAUCAAGCUCAAUCCAGAAAAAUGCGUCUUCGGCGUACCAGCCGGAAAGCUCCUGGGUUUCAUUGUCUCCAGUAGAGGAAUUGAAGCUAAUCCGGCCAAAAUCUGAGCUUUGUCACAAUUGUCUACCCCAACAGACCUCAAACAAAUCCAGAAAUUAACUGGAUGUGUGGCGGCUCUAAGCCGCUUUAUCUCCCGCUUAGGAGAAAAGGCAUUACCCCUUUAUCGCCUCCUUCAGCACACCGAACACUUCGAGUGGACAGACGCUGCCACAGCCGGAUUGGAAGAAAUAAAAGCCAUACUGGAAACCAACCCAAUCCUGGCCGCGCCAAACAUUGGCAAACCAAUGUUGUUAUACAUUGCGGCAACUCAUCAGGUUGUAAGCGCAGUGCUCGUCAUCGAACGAGAAGCGGACGGACAUAAAUUCCCUCUUCAAAAGCCGGUAUAUUAUGUAUCCACUGUCCUCACUCCAUGCAAAUCACGGUACCCACAUUAUCAGAAGAUAGCCUAUGCGGUAUUCAUGGCAUCCCGGAAGCUGCGACACUACUUUCAAGAGUGUUCGAUUACAGUAGCCUCGGAAGUGCCACUUAAUGAUAUUAUAAACAACCACGACGCCACGGGCCGGAUUGCCAAAUGGGCCAUUGAACUCCUCCCGUUCGACAUAACAUACAAACCAUGGCGAGCCAUUAAAUCACAAGUAUUGGCCGACUUUGUCGCCGAAUGGACGGAAGCCGAACUCCCUAAAGAGUACGGCACAUACUCCAAUUGGAUCAUGCACUUUGAUGGCUCCAAAAUGCUAGCUAGUCUGGGGGCUGGCGUCGUCCUGACGUCCCCAACCGGAAAUACAGUUCAAUACGUACUGCAGAUACUGUAUACAGACUCCAACAACGCAGCCGAAUACGAAGCCCUGCUACAUGGUCUUUGGAUGAUAGUUUCCAUGGGCAUUCAACACCUAGAGGUGCGUGGGGAUUCGAACCUCGCAAUAUCCCAAAUAAAUGGAGACUUCGAUGCCAAGGAUCCGAAGAUGGCGGCCUAUCGAAACACCGUCCUAAAGAUGUCAGCUCGGUUUGAGGGGCUCGAAUUUCACCAUGUGGCUCGGGAAAACAAUCAGGCGGCGGAUAUCCUCGCCCGCAUCGACGCAAAACGCGAUGCGGUCCCCCCAACAUCUUUUUGGAGAGGUUGUUUAAGCCAUCCGUGGUAUGGGAAGGGGACACCGGUAACAAUAGUCCGGACCCGGCCAAAAUGCCCGAUACCGAACACUCUGACAUAAUCGGAGGCUCUGCCACCAAAAUAACACCUUCAGCCCAUGUCAUAAUGGCCAUCAUUGCCCCGUGGACAGAACCAUUCAUGGCCUACCUAACUAGGCAGGAACUUCUAGAGGACCACCGGAGUCCAUGCUGCAUAGUGCGGCGAUCUAAAGCCUACAGGGUCCACGAGGGAGAGCUGUAUAAAAAAAAGCACCACCGGAGUCCUUCAAAGGUGCAUCUCCGAAGAGGAAGGGCGGGAACUUUUGGCAGAAAUUCAUGUCGAAUUCGGCGGCCACCACGCCGCAGCCUGGGCCCUUGUAAGCAAGGCCUUCUGUACAUGUUUUUAUUGGCCGACGGCCCGGGCAGACACACAGGACUUGGUCCAACGCUGCGCCGGUUGCCAGCUUUUUGAAAACCAAAGCCACAUGCCACCCACCGCCCUCCAAACCAUCCCCAUUACCUAGCCCUUCGCGGUCUGGGGGCUUGACAUGGUUGGACCCCUUAAAGGGGGAACCCAUAAGAAAAAAUACUUACUGGUCAUGGUGGAUAAAUUCACCAAAUGGAUAGAAGCCAAACCUGUUAAAACGGCCAAAUCCGGACCGGUGAUAGACUUCAUAUCCGGGGUUGUACACUGUUAUGGCGUCCCCCACAGCAUCAUCACUAACAACGGCACGAACUUCAUGGCCGGCGAUGUAAAACUCUGGUGCAGCAACAUGGGCAUCAAGCGCGAUUAUGCUUCAGUCUAUCACCCACACACCAAUGGCCAAGUUGAGCGAGCAAACGGUCUUAUCAUGAGCGGCAUUAAACCAAGACUAGUGUGGUCCUUAAAGGAGUCUAACACGCACUGGAUAGAGGAGCUCGACUCCGUACUAUGGGGGCUGCGGACCACGCCGAAUCAUACUACCGGAUAUACACCCUUCUUUAUGGUGUACGAUGCAGAGGCGGUUCUGCCCUGCGACAUAAUUCAUGACUCACCUCGAGUGUGCAUGUACGAAGAAAGAGAAGACGAGCUCGAUUGGCAGGACAGUCUGGACACAUUUGAGGAGGAGCGCGACGUCGCAAAAGCCCGUUCAGCAUUCUACCAGCAACAGGCUCGCAGAUACCAAAGCAGAGAAGUACGGGCCAAAACUUAUAACGUUGGCGAGUUAGUUCUACACCUGCCGGAGAAGAAAAAUACCAAGCUCGAGCCCAAAUGGGAUGGUCUCUUCAUUAUUGACCAAGUUCUGGCCGGUGGAGUGUACCGUCUGCGGGAUGCAUCGAAUAAUCGACUUGAGCCAAACCCAUGGAACGCAGCCAGGCUCCGAAGAUUCUACGCCUAGCGCCGGACUCUAUGUUCGUCUCCUUCCUCUGUCCAUUUUUCGCAUAUACAUUAUCUGUCUUUUUUCUAUUUCUUUCUUUUAUUCUUUCUCAAGGCCUUCAAGGGCCAACUUGUGCCUCGCUUGCACACUAUACAUGCGCUAACCGCGCUCAUUAUACCUGGGGGCUUCUUACACAGAAGCUUAAUUAUCUAUCUGGGCUUGAUGCCCCGCACAUGUGUUCUUCUUCCGCAUGUACCUUUUCUUCACCAUUAUAUGCAUCGAUAUGACUUAAGUUUUGGCCAAGCUGGGUUGCCUGGCUCUUGUAUUUAUGCCCUACGUUCCCGUUAGUUCAGCUAGGGCAUAAAGGGAGCACCUCUGCGUUUGUUACUGUCGGGUCAGCCGGAUGUGUACCUCAGACUAGGUGAAGCCAAAAGCUAGUGUUCUUAAGGGAAUAUUCGGCCGACGAACAAAAGAUGAUUUUUAUUUAUUUUCCAUAUAUGCCCCCAGAUGUUUUUGCCUGUGGCUCUGCUCGCAGUCCGGACAUGCACUUUAGGGCAUGUGUACCCAGGGAAAGGAACCCCUAACGGAACUAUUCUCCCUGGAAGAUGUUUCUUACUACCCAUGUAAUAUAACAUAACUAGUUGGGUACUUGUCUGUUCAAGCACUAAUGACCCCUACGCCUGGUUUCCACGCAUACCCUGGUUCUUAUAUAACUGAGCGGGUGUUCGGACACACUCCGGACUAUCGGGUCCCGAGGUUGAAGCGAAAAGGUCCGCCAUGACAAAUGAUUUACAAUCCGGCUAGAAGGCAUUAUACAUGUCACUUUAAUUACAUAGUCAUGUAGACUGACUAAAUUCCUCUUCUAUACCAUCCAACAGGCAGUCUAGCCUACAAUCCUGUUGGGAAUACUUUGCGGCUAAUUCUACUUGCCCAUAGACUAAGCUAAUGGGGAUCUCUUUCCCAGUGGGCCCCACAGGUCUAACCUCGACCAUGUGGUUUGGGUCAGCCUUGGUAUACGAUGUCUUCACCAUGGCCCAGGCUUCCCUGGCACCUUGACGGCAGGCCGAUAUCUUCCAUAAUCGGAAGCGCCGCCGUGCUCCCUUGAGAUUCUACGCAAGCUCUCCAAUGCCUUCUGGCAGGGAGACUGAUGGCCACAAGGCCUGGGCAAUACCUUGCAUCACCUACUGAACUUGUUCGUGCAGUUGUGAGAGCUCGGAUAGAAGAUCACCCGCAGACCCGGGCAUCUCCUCCGCGGGACAACCCGUUAGCAUACCUGCAGACAUAACUCUGUUAGCCGGCUUCUGUGUCGUCCCCUUUUUAAGGGUUCGUUCAAGCACUUACUGAAAAUGCCGCAUCGAAGCCGCUUAUUCUCCUUCUCGGAGUUCGCAAGCUGGGCUCGAACAUCUUUCAGUUCCAUGCUCAGCUUGGUAUUGUCGUCUUGGAGAUUGUUUUUCUCCCGGCUAACCUCAGUCAACACGUGUUCGCCAGCCUUUAGCUGUCGUACGACAUGCUGGUCCUUCAGAUUCUCUCCGGAUUCAUCUGCAAUAUCUAUUGUUAGAUCUGCAGCCACGCCGCAUGCUAUAUGGUACCUAUCAUUCUUUGAGACAAAUGUUACCUGCUGGGGACUUUUUAGGUUCCUUCAAUGCGGCAACGUCGGCCCGAAGUUGGGUAUAGCAUUCCUCCAGCUCCUGUGAUAGUCAAGUAUUCUUCUCUGUAAGAACCUGCACAAUAGAUGAUCCUUAAAUCAGUUCUGCUAACUGUUUCAAGUCUCAGGGGCUACUGAUACAUAUAAUCGUCAGAUUUGCUUACCGGUACAUCCCUUACAUACUGGUCCGUGGCUCUGGCUAGAAAAUUUUGAGCAGCACGGAGGUACGGGUCUCCAGAAUUGAAGGCAUCAAAUGCCUCUGGGGAGAAGCAAGCGUCACGGAGUACGGCUCGGCGACGCCUAUGAUUCAUGGCGCUCUCCACUUUUGAAUUUGUAGCGGAUAGUCUAUCUGCAUCCUCUGUAGGAGGAGUAUUCAGCGUCCGCCCCAUGUCGGCUUCUGCCUCUAUGUCCGGUCCUGGAGCCCGACUGGUGGAAGCAUGAUCGGCAACCUCACCGGACAUAUUCCGACGAGCGUUUUUUCUGUUAAAGAAACAUGGACGUCAUUACGUUUAGAGAAAGACGACAAACACGGAGCGGGGUUUUUGUCAUACCUCUGUGCCGACAUCUCCGUCCUGACCGCCUUCCUUUUUGGCCUACCCGGCCUCUUUGCCUCUUGUUGGCGAGUUGCUGCGGGUUCGGCACGGCGUCCCAAAGGCCUUCCCUGUAAAACACCAUGUAUAUGGUAGGUGAAGUGUCUAAAAGGGGAUACUAGUUUUUUAAGUUGGGAUUUUUGGUUUUUCUUACGUGCAAUGCAGGAAGCAGUCCGGGAUUGUCGGCCGUAAUGGCCACCAUGGCAUCAUCACAGCUUAAUUGAUAGAACUGCCGGUCUAUCAGCUCCACGAAUAUGUCCGGAUCUUCUUCGAGUCCGGGACCAAGGGCCCAGUCAGGGUCCUCUGGUUGUGGGGAUGCACUACAAAAAAAUACACUUUCGUGAUGAUACGUGUUUGUCACAGUAGGUCGCUUUUUUGUCAUGCAUGUACAUCCAUGACAAAUUUAUGACAGAAUCAAGAUAGUCAUACCUGUGCUAUCAUAGAAGUGUUCCAUGACAUUACCAAAAUUAUCAUCACAGAAGUGUCCACUUCCAUGACAAUAAAUCGCGCGUCACAGAAGUGCUUUCGUCAAGGGUGACCGACACGUGGCAUCCACCGUAACGGAACGCCGUUAAGCUACCGGGUCGGGUUUUGGAUCCGAUAACCCGUUAACAGCCCCGACCAAUGGGGAUUUUCCACGUGUAAAAUCAUCAUUGGCUAGAGGAAACACGUGUCGGCUCAUCGUUGGGACAGAUGUCAUCCAUUCACUGGACAGAAGGCGCCUAUGAUACGUCGACACGUGGCACGGCCAAACAAUGGCCCAUUCCUGUGAAAAGGCCGGCCCAUUUGACUUGGUCAAAAGCUGGCGGGUCGGCCCAUGGAAAGCCUGUUAACGGCCUAUUCGCAUAUAGCCCAUUUACAGCCCGCUAACCCAAGGCCCGUUACGCCCUAUCCGAAUUAGGCCCAGUAGCGUCAUCUGGGCCGUCCAAUAUGAUUCCAGCCCGUUUUCACUUCUGGCCCAUGUAUAGCCCAUGACGUCUUUCGGCCCAUAUGAGGCCCUUUGUAACUCUUGGCCCAUUAGCGGCCCGUGCUGAAACUGGCCCGUAAUGAACAGUGUAUUACUUUACACCCAUUAACGGCCCGUGGUGAAACUGGCCCGUAAUGAACAGUGUAUCACUUUAUACCCAUUAAUGGCCCGUUAUUCCGUUGGGCCGUUUCCAGCCCAAGUUAACUUUCGGCCUUUUGAGGGCCCAUUUAUUCUUAGGCUCAUUUGCAGCAUUCGGUUACAUACGGCCCGUUACUGUCAUUUUCUGUUUCUGGGCCAAAUUCAGCCCGUCGUUACAGUCGGCCCGUUUGUGGACCGUUAGUCUAUUGGGCCAUUUUCAUAGCAUCACCAAAUACGGCCUAAUAACGGCCCAUUACGGUCAGCCCAUAAAAUGUACGAUUUCCAUUAAAGGCCCGUCUACGGCCCAUUAAAGGCCCGUACAAGACCCAUAAAUGAGCCGGCGGCCCAUGGAUCCUACGAGACGUACAAGGCCCAUGGAUCCUACGAGACGUAGAAGGCCCAUGGAUCCUACAAGACAUAGAAGGCCCAUGGAUCCUACGAGACGUAGAAGGACCAUGGAUCCGACGGCCCGUGAAGGGCCAUGGUCGGGCGAAUUGCCCCCGUUUGAACGAUAUAGCAUAUUCAAAGAAUUAUCGUACUCAAUACUAUCACCUCUAAAAAGCCUACACUAUUACAACAAAGAGAUCAAGGCAUAGAAAGGUAGAAUAAUCCUACACUAUACAAUAAAGAAAUCACAGCCGAUUAUACCCACUGGGUAUUAUGGUUCGGCACAGGUGAUAAUAAAGCAUACACAAACAGCAAAUUACACACACUGGGCAAAUACAACUCAUACAUCAUGGACGCGCAUCAACCUAAAUCCAUUUGAACUAUAAUCUCUUCAGAAAAUAGGAUUGGCCAGAUUCAGAUAGCACAAAUUUCAGUCUGCAAAAUCUCCAAUACCUUCAUGGUUACCUCAGUGUCUUGUUUCAUUUUUUUGACUCCUGCAUCUAAUACCUGCAUGUCCAGUCUCAACUUGUUGAUUA
RNAcentral lists this long non-coding RNA (50790 nucleotides) under Triticum aestivum (bread wheat). Its description in RNAcentral is "long non-coding RNA (TAES_LNC010561)". The stretch from base 35260 to 35346 matches the Rfam family "MIR1120/MIR1122 microRNA precursor family". Lineage: Eukaryota; Viridiplantae; Streptophyta; Magnoliopsida; Poales; Poaceae. The record is from RNAcentral.